This 46054-nucleotide long non-coding RNA is filed under the name Salvia miltiorrhiza (redroot sage). RNAcentral describes it as "long non-coding RNA (SMIL_LNC011427)". Lineage: Eukaryota; Viridiplantae; Streptophyta; Magnoliopsida; Lamiales; Lamiaceae. The record is from RNAcentral.
GCGUCGCCCUGGUAGGUUAGGUCGGUGGAGUUGGCGACGAAGGAGGUGAAGGUGAAGGAGGUCUUUUGUGAGGUCGCCUUGUUUGCUAGCAUUAGGAAAAAUGCUAUGCAAAAGAGGAGAAGAAUUAGGGUUUGUAGAAGCUUGGCCAUGGCUUGAUUUGAUGGGUGGAGUAUUAUUUGGAUGUAGUGAAUAGUGGUUGGCUCUCUAGCCCUAUUUAUAUUGGUUUAAUGCCACAUUCCAUUAUUAGUUUAAUAUAUUGUAGCUCACUAUUUUUUUUGAACUUUAUGGAGAAGGCAUGAGUUUUUUAAAAAAAUUGAGAAAUGUGUAUAAAAUGAAUAAAGAGGCUCACUAAAGUUGAUUUGGCAGGUAUUAAUAAAUUAUUUGUGUGAUGAGUUUUUUGUAAAUAUUGUGUGUGAAUGAGGGUAAAAUAUAAAGGUACAUAUGUCUUAAAAGGGACGGAAAUGACAAAUACUUAUUGUGGAUAAAGGUAGUAUAAUAUACGGAGUGUAUACUUAAGUUUAUCAAUUUUAUUACUAAAUUAAAUAUGGUUAAUUUAAUAUCAAUAUGCUUAUUAGUAAUUAGUAUUACUCCAUUCAUCCCAAAAACAUCAAUCUUUACUUAUUUUUUCGUUCGUCUCCAAAACAUCUUCCUAAUCUAUUUUUAUGUCCUGUAUUAAAUUUUCAAGCUAGUUUCACUCCCCAACUAUCGUUUAAAUUAUACAUACAUAUAUGGACGACUUGAAAAUUUGUUAAGGCAAUUGAUUAUGCCCAUGCCGUAUAGAAUCAAAAACCAUUCCUAAACAAAAAAUAGAAUAAUUAAGAAAAUAAUCUAGAAUAUAAAUAUAGAACUUAAAUUCUUUGCCACAAAUUUAAGUCAAUCAGCCGACAUAGUAAAUGUAUGUGUUUACAAGUAAUCAUGCCUUGUCUUGAGAUUCAAGUUGGCAAUUGAAGCAAAAUUUCUCACACAUAGCUAUCUACUCUAGCUAUGAAAUCAUGCAUUGUCUUGAGAUUUAAUUUGGCCCAUGAAUCCAAAUUUUGCAAUCAUGCCAUGUCUUAAGAUUCAAUUUGGCCCAUGAAACUAAAUUUCUUGAGCCUAUCUCUAACCUCUUUGAUAUUCAUAUAUAAUAACACCUUUAAAACACACACAACCCACUUCUAAAGUUCUACAUGUAUACACACGAACUCAUGCUUAUGUCACAAAUUAAGUUUUUCAAAAAUAAACUUUUCCCUAUUUGAAUUCCUUAUGUAUUCAGUUUGUUUUUAAUAUUUAAACUAUGUUAUUACAACAAAAUUAUCUAGCAGGGACAUGAUUUUAGCAACAUAAAAAAAGAUGUCAUAAAUUUCUUACUCCCUCCGUCCUCCGAAGCUUGAUCAACAAUUUCUUUUCGGCACGGAGUUUAAGGAGUUAAUAUUUUGUAUGUUAAUUAGUGUGGUAGGUGAAAAAAUGAAAAGAUGAAUAACGGGAAAAGUUGUUGCCAUAUAAGGAAAGUGAUCAAGCUUCGCGGAUAACCCAAAAAUGAAUACUGCUCAAGAUUCGCUGGAAGAAUGAAGUACAAUUUUAGGCAUAACAAAAAUUUAUUUACAUCCACACAUGCAUGCACCGAUACUUUAUCACAUGCAAAAUUACAAGUAACUUUGCUAAUUACAAAAAUUAAUACAUGAACCCUCAAAUGUCACUAGAUGUAAUGAUAUUUUUAUAUUUUUUCGACACACAUAAUAGUUACUCAUCACAAAAUAUCAAUAUUUUUAUCAUAUAGUGAUAUUUAUAAGUUUCACAAUUUUUCAAAUAUUAUGUCAAUGCUAGCUUAGACAUUUUGUUUUGACACUUUGUAUUGAAACAUGUUUUUUACAAAAAUAAAAUAAUUGAAUUUAUUAACGAAUAUUUAAACAAUCAAUCAAUAAUAACUACAAAGUGAAGCAAUUCAAGUUAAAAGGUAAAUUCUAAAUUUAAAUUUGAAAAACAAGAAAAUUCGAGCCUUAAUUUUUUUUAUUUUUUUAUAUACGCACUACAAAUCUCCCAUAAAUCUUAAAUCAAAAUUUAACCUUACAACAAAAAAUAAAUAUAUAAACUAAAAUGGAGUAUGAUAAUAUAGUUUUAUCAAAUUAUUUGAUAAUUCUAUUAAUAAAAGAUAAAAAAAAAAAUAAGGGGGGCCCACGGGCAUGCUGCCCCCAUAUGCUAUGGACCAUGGUGGCUAGGUCACUGCGCUCUCGAGAUCUACACUAUUUAUACGUGGUAUUCAUUGCGAAUUAUUUUGCAUUAUCUUUGUUUAUUUUUCUUAUAUUGGGAAAGAAAACAUGAGUAAUAUAUAGUAAUCUUUUAGAAGUCCAGUUACCAAUGUCGUCAAAAUUAUCUUGUCUAUUUUUAGAAGUUCAGAUAAACAUGCAACACAUUUUCAGAAGAAAUUUAAUAAUCUCUUACGAUUUACAUUUAUUUUUUAAAUAAUUAUCUCAGUGGUGAUAAAAUAAAAAAAUCGACUACAUUUUUCUAAGUAAUUUAUUAGAUACAAAAUAUUAUGAUUUAUGUUUGUAUAUUUUUUGUUUCCCAUUAGUGCAUUAUCAUUUCUAAGUAUCUUCUCACUUGUUCACUGAUUCACUAUUGGAUUAACAUGAAUAUACGAAUUUCAUAGUAUACCAACUGUUCGAUAAAAGUCCUAAAAGAAAUCUUCCAUAGAUAACCUUGCAAAUAACAGGAAACUAAAAUUACUCCCAAAGCAUUCCAUACAUAGAGAUGCGGAUUACCUUAUUCGUAGACUUAACGAGAGUACACUCGAUCGCUAGUCCUUAUUUACGACCCAAACUACACAUACAUUACAAAAUCACACAACUUGACGAAUGUUUCCACCGAGCUCCUUCCUGCUCUUGGCAGCGACGCCGACGUUUUGCACCAUGGUGGCCGUGAAAUACCACGCCACGAUGUCGUGUCUGGCGACGACUUGCCCCGUGGAGGCGGAGAGCCCGACUUGGACCUGCUCAGGAAGGAAGCCGCUCAAAUCGUACACAUAGCUGACCUCGAACGCUUUCGAGCCGGCGGUGACGUGGACGUCGAUCAUCUUCGUGGCGGCGGCGUAGUUGAUCCUUGCCGUCACCUGCUGCCCGAUUAUGGAGCCGUCGACCUCCGUCGUGUUGCCGGAUGACCUAGAGCCGAUGUCGAUGCCGAUGUGGGGAUAGUUCGGAUCCCACGCGCCGUUGACGUAGGUGUCGAACUCGACGGCGAAGACCGAGGGGCUGCUGCCGGAGGAGCCGAAGAUUCCGAGGUUGGAUCCGCUAGAGGAGGAAGGGAUGGUGGACCCGACGGGGGCGAUGAAGAAGGCGAGGCCGUCGGCGGCAGAGUUGCCGGGGCCAGGUGUGAUGAUGAAGUUUACGGUGGUUUCAAAGUCGACUUGGCCGCCGGUUUGUGAGAACUGGACCGGGUUCGAGUACAAUACCCGGCCAACUUUGGCGGUCUGUGCGUCGGUGAGGCGGAGGAAGGUGGAGUCCGACGGGAAAUGGGCGUCGCCUUGGUAGGUGAGGUCGGUCGGCUGGUCGCCCCAGAAGUCGUAGGUGAAGGACGUCGAUUGGGACUGCGCCACGUUGGCGGCGGCGAGGAGUAGGGCGACGGAGGAGAGGAGAGGAAUUAGGGUUUGGAGAAGCUUGGCCAUUGCUUAAUUGAUUUGGAUGUGGUGGAUGAUGGUGAUAUGUCUUAAGCUUGCACUCCUAUAUAUACUAGUGUAGUUCAUGCAUGAUAAUGUUGUUUAAUCAUCAUAUAUUUUAUUUCAUUAAAAUGAAUCACCUCGUCCAUUCGAGGUAAAUGAACCAUGUGAUCUUAUGUACUACCAGCCACAUUUUAAUUUGCUCGUUGGAAUAUUAUCUAUAGUUGUAUCUAUUGUAUUUGUAUAAAUGAUUUUUGGAAGGGAACUUAGAAAAAGUUCUUGAUAGGGGCUGUAUUUUUUAAUUUCAAGUGCAAAAUUAAGUUUUGAUAGACAAUUUACUUAUGAUUCAAUUUAACGAUCGGGUUUUCUGAAAAAAAAAAAUUCACACAAAAAAUCGAUUAUUUAAUAAUUUUAUAAGAAAAAAGAAGAAGAAGAAAUUUUCUAUUUAGGAUAUACACGAGCAGAUGAGAUCCUCUGUCCCACUAUUUUGUGUGUACCACCAUGUACCAUUCUUAAUUUAUUUAUUUUAGUAAUUAUUUUUUAUAAAAAUAAAAAUUAUUAUUAUAUUUUUUAUUUUCAUUUAAGUGAGUUACUAGAUUUAUUUGGGGUGAGCACAGGUUAUUUUGGAAAAGGAGAAUAUCUGUAAGAUGAUGUGAAAAUUAUUCAAUAUAAGCACAUAUAGGGGUUGAGUUCUCAAAGGAACUUAAUUAAUAUCCAAUGUGAUUGAUACAUUUCGACUAAAUGGAUGGACUGUGACGCCCCGACCAAAAGUAAAGAGUGAUUGUGAUCGGUGCACAAGGCAUGGAUGAAAAGCGGUUCCUAGUAAUGCUUCGAUACGGAGGAUACAUGAAUGAAUCGAAACACACCAGAAAGAGAGGGAUUCCAUGAGUACGUACGCAGGUAUAUGACUGCAUAUUCGAGGAGCUUAAAUAAUUUUAUUGGUGUUACUCAUAUCAACAAGAUGCAUCUUCUUUUUUGGUGACCAUAUGAAAUAAACUCCAAGGUUAAGCGUGCUUGGCGUAGAGCAACUUGAUGAUUGGUGACCUCCCUAAGAAGUUUAUCAGAAAGCGUGCUAGUAAGAACAAAACAUGCUAGAAAAGACUCAUAUUAGUCUGUGGGGACAGCCGUUAAAUUUGGAUUCGGGUCUUUACAAGUGGCAUUAGAGAUUAACCUCUCACAGUAUGGUGCGGUUCGGGAACGAACCAAGCGGAAGUUGGUACUCAAUAUUCCAUCUAUUGUGAGUUUCUUUGUCUUCUUCAUCUUUCUUUUACUCUGCUGUCGAGUUUCAGAGAGUAAUCAGAUAGGUUUUCAUUCGAGUUGAGUUUCUUGAGUGAUAAACUGUUAAUUGUGAGUUUCAUUCGAUCAUUUGUUGAUUAUAAAUAUCUGCACAUGGAUAUUGGUCAAUUUAGAUACACUGAUCUUCAAAUUGAUUGACGAAUCUUUAGAAUUCAAAAUUUAAAUCAAAUACGCGUGUUCAUAGUUAAUUGGUAAGUACACUUUUUUUUNAUAUAAAUAUAAUUGACUCGAGAUCUCUGCUACUUACGCAUACUUCGCUCGAGACAAAAAUAAAUAAUUGAUCAUUGAGAACUCCGCUACCACACCAUACUCGUGUACUAUUUAUCAUUGUUUAUGAUUAUUAAUAAAGACGUGUCUUUGCCUGAUAAAUUUAAUUUUCAUACUCUUGAUUCUUUUUUGGCCAUAUCAUUUUUUAAAAAAUUGGGAGGGGAAUGGUGGAAAUUGAAUAUGAAAAAUACCAGUCAAAUGAUACAUGUGCACUUUCAAAGACAAAACAUAAAUGUAACCUUCGUUUGUAAAACAUAGAAAUUCUACCAUAUAUUUGUGAUUAUUUUACCUUUAUACGAUCUAUUUAUAUAUAUUUAUUAGAAUUAAUAAAAAUAUACUACAUUCGUCCACGAAAAAGAAUCUCAUUGUGUGCUGGAUGUGAGUCGUAUCGAGAGUGAGAGGGAACACAUUGUCUCCGGUCUCUGCCGUCUUGGCGAGAUCUUCGGCAUUGGCCUGAUCCGGCCGCUGAGGUGGCCGGUAGGUCAUCCAUGGAGUAUGGCUAUAUUCAUACUCGUAUCCCAUUUUGGUUGUAGAACAAGAAGGCGGUGUUGUUGAAAUCGUCGUCGUUGAUAUCCUUUGGAAAACCGGCUGGGAUAGUUUUCGCCAUUAGAGUGAUGUGCGUAGAAGAGAGGAUCUUCCGGCGGUCUUCGCGGAAACCGUUGUCGCGUGUCCAUAGUUCAUGGAUUGAAAAUAUGCAGGUAAAGCACCCGGCGUACUCGGCCAUACAAUUAACUCGCCAUCAUGAGCUAUAAUUCUAUUCGAGUAAGUUCAAUCUCUAAUGAAUUAAUAUAUUUUUAUAAAUAUAUAAUUUGCAAAAUAACCUUAAAAUAAAAUAUGUAAUAAGGGUAAAAUAGGCAAUCCACAUGUUGUGCUCAAUGCUCUUUUUAUAUUACUAGGAGAAAGAUAAUUAAUGUUAUUUUAUCUAAUAAAAUAAAAAAUAUAAAUAUAAUAUUUAUUAUAUUUAAAUUUUUAAUUAACAAUUUUGUUUAUUUAAUUCUCUUAUCUCUUACAAUAUUUUUUUUUAGAAAAUCUAUUAGUUCAUUACUUCGACUAAAUAUAAUUUAUUGGAUAGAUAUAUUUAUUUAUAAGCCUUAUCAAUAGCUAUAGAUAUAUAUUACAUAGAUUUAAUGUAAUAUUUAAUGAAUCAAUAGCUCUUUUCUUUUAUAUUAGUAUAGAUUAUAUAGAUAGAUAUAUAUAGUGCAUGCAUGAUAAUGUUGAUUGAUCAUCGUAACUAUAUAAUUUAUUGCACUAAUAAUGAAUCACGUUCCCACUCGAGGUAUAUAAAAUGAAUCAUGUGACCUUUUCUACUACCCGACACAUUUUGCUCCUUGGAAUAUUAUUUAUAAUUGUGUCUAUUGUAUAGUGCAUGCAUGAUAAUGUUGUUUAAUCAUCAUAAAUCUUCAUGGCUCAUCCACCUCAUCCAAUCGAAGCAUAUAAUGAACCAUGUGAUCAUAUCUACUACCUGACACAUUUUGCUUCUUGGAAUGCUAGCUAUAAUUGUAUCUAUUGUGUGAAUGUAAGCAAAAGGGCGCGCACAAUUUUUUAUUUUUUUUUGGAUAGGUGACUCGCUCAAAAUACCUAUUGAAUUGACUCGUAAUCGCACGAGGUCAUUCUAGCGUAGUAAGCUAACCCAUGUCGUAUCUCACAAGGAAGAUUAAGCAGGACGACUAAUUUUGGAUUAUUUUUAAUCAAAUGUUGGAUAUUUUUUAAUUAGAGUAAAAUUAAAAUAAGUAAAUUAUUGUAUAUUUUCAGAUUCGGAAACUAAUGGCUUUAUUUUAAUUUAAUCAUUUUCAUAUGUCAGUUAUAUUAUGUAAAUGACGUUUUUAGUAACAAACAAAUGACAUUUUAAUCAAUAAAUGAUACUUUUAUCAAUAAUAAAUGAAACCAUAUUAAGGUAAAUAGGGUAAAGGUUAGACUUAACUGUGAAAGCAUCAUGAGUUUUAUGUGUAACAUUUUCGGUGUGAAAAUUGAUGAGUUAAAAAAAAUGCUCCAUAUUGAAUUCGACAUUAGAUGAAUCUACAGUAGAUUUUCAUGCAUGAUCUAAGAGCUGAAAAUGAUUCACGGUCUAUAUUUAUUCUAUCAAAUUCCAUAUCACUUUAAAUCUCAAAUUACAUUUGCACUAUAUAUGAUUAUAUCCUAAAUUAUCAUAAAUAUGAACCGCUUAAAUCUGGCGUCGUUGCACCGCGGACAUCUUGCCGCUGCUUUCUCCCACCAUUGCCCUUGCUGCCCUCAUCUUAGGUGCCAAUUUUUUGCUCGUCGUGCAGAAUUUGAAAGGGGUAAAUUAUUUUUUCAAUUUUUUAUUGCAUUUUGCUGUCUAAGUUGAUUUCUCAAGUAAAGUGGACUUGGGUUUUGUUUCGAUUAUAGCUGAAUUCGAUGGCGCUGUGUGGUUAGAUCUGUAAUUUUGACGUGUUGUUGAAGUGUGCGGGAUUGAAUGUGAUCUGGGAGAAUUUAAGGGUUUUGGGACGUUAGUAUGAUGAUGGUGGGAUUUGAAUGAAUUUGAAUACCAGAUUAUGGUUGAUGUUUAAUUAUGUGAAUCUUGCGAUCUGUGUUGAAAUUAAUGUACAGUAUCUUCGCCUAGCCGGGGGUUCACCAUUUGGUUCCCGACCGUCCUGCUGCCUUCACUCCACACUCAAGUGCCAAUAUCUUCUUCUCGUUUCUCUUCCUUCUUCUUCUCCUCUUAGUACCUGCAAGACAGAAGGAAAAACCAGCAAGUAUAAAGAAAAAUCAGAAAACUUAAAGAAGUAAAGAAAGAAAGAAAACAAAGGAAACUCGAGGUGGGAAAAAGGUGUCCUCGGGACACAGGUGGCUCAGAUUUUUCCCACAGUGGCAACACACUCCGGCAGCUCAAAGACCACGGCACAAAGGGGAAGGGAAGUCAGAUCGGAGCUCAAAUCUGACGAGCACAGCCACCAAUAAUCAGGAAUCCGGUGGACAGGAUUCCGGCGGCUCAGAAAUCCUUCGCUUUAUCACCAAACAGGAAAUCUAAGGUCAGCAAUCCGACAAUAAUGCUAUCAACAGGAGGAAGCUCUCACUUUACGGCCACAACACCGGAAACCAGAACGGAAACCAGAGAACAGAAGGAAUAGCAGAGCCUUCAAGGUUGUGAACAUACUACAGAACUUCCCCCAAUCGAUUGCUUUAUAACCGAGACAGAGAAGGGUCGGGAAGAUGUAGUGGGCUUUGGGAAGGAGGAGGAAGCCAUUAAUGGUGGUGGAGCUCGAGGGAAAGCGAGAUCAGCAGUCGUGAAGACUUAGGGUUUGGGAGGGGAUUUGAGGUGGAGCGGCGGAGGUUGAAAUGAGGGAAAGGCCGAGUGAGAGAGGGAGUAUUUCAGUGGAUAAUGGGCUAGGGUAUUUUUGAGUUAACGGGCUAUAGGUGUCUGGGCCCAAAAGUUGGGCCAGAGAAGGGAUAAAGAGCAUUGGGCCAACAUUCCACAAUUAAGACAAUUAAGAGUAGAAAUUCUUCUUGAUUUGCUAAUUUAUUUAGGAUUAGCGAUAUUAGUUUGGAGUUUUAGAUGUCGAUUGAUUUCGUGAUCUUGAUUUAUGUGAUAAAUGCCUCUCAUCACUAAGAUUUGGAAUAUAUUGGAUAUCUAGGAUAGUGAUAUUAGUUUGGAGUUUUAGAUGUUGAUGUGUCUUUUUAGGCUGCGUUUACUUUGAUGGAUAAAUUUAUAUAUGGAAAAGGAUGGAUAACACAAAUUUAUGCUUUUAAAUGUCUCCUUCCUCUUCCAACAUUUGACACAAAAAGAGAUGCUCGCUAUUUUUUCUUCCUUAUCUUCACUUCAAGGAUGGAUAAUAUUAUCCCUCCAUUUUGGUGUGAUAAUAUUAUCCAUCAUUGAAGUGAAGAUAAGGAAGGAAAAAUAGUAGAGCAUCUCUUUUUGUGUCAAAUGUUGGAAAAGGAAAGAGACAUUUAAAGGCAUGAAUUUGUGUUAUUCAUCAUUUUCCAUAGAUAAAUUUAUCCAUCAAAGUAUACGAAGCCUUAUGUGAUAAAUGCUUUUUUAGGGGGGCCCACGGGCAUGCUGCCCCAUAUGCUAUGGAGUAUGGACCAUGGUGGCUCGGUCACUGCGCUCUCGAUUGCGAAUUAUUUUGCAUUAUCUUUGUUUGUUUUUCUUAUAUUGGGAAAGAAAACAUAGAGUAAUAUAUAUUUUAGAAGUCCAGUUACCAAUGUCGUCAAUCUCGAGUGAAAAUAAAUAUUACCAUAACACAAAAAUGACAAAGCUAUUGAUUAGUGACGAUAUGUUAGAAGUUCAGAUAAACAACACAUUUAUUCUUGUGUAUAUUAUAUUAACGUUUAUUAUAUAUUAUAAAAAGAACAUAUUCUUUCAAAAUUAUCUUGUCUAUUUUUAGAAGUUCAGAUAAACAACACAUUUUCAGAAGAAAUUUAAUAAUCUCUUACGAUUUACAUAUAAUUUUUAAAUAAUUAAUUAUCUCAGUGGUGAUAAAAUAAAAAAACGAAGUAAUUUAUUAUAUACAAAAUAUUAUGAUUUAUGUUUGUAUAUUAUUUGUUUCCAUUAGUGCAUUAUCAUUUCUAAGUAUCUUCUCACUUGUUCACUGAUUCACUAUUGGAUUAACAUGAAUAUACGAAUUUCAUAGUAUACCAACCGUUCGAUAAAAGUCCUCAAAGAAAUCUUCCAUAGAUAACCUUGCAAAAGUACGUGUAUCUAUAUUAAUAGAAUAAGAGCCUAAGGAAUCUUAAAACACAAUUUUUGGAUUGCCUAUUUUACCACUAUUAUAUAUUAUUUUAAAAUUAUUUUACAUAUUAUAUAUUAAUAGGAAUAUAUUAAUUCAUUAGAUAUUACACUAAAUCUAUGUGAUAUAUUUCUAUAGCUAUUGAUAAGGCUUAUAAAUAAAUAUAUAUCCAUCUAAUAAAUUAUCUAAUAAAAGUAAUGAAUUAAUAGAUUUUUUAAAAUAAUAAAUUAUCAAAUAAAAUAACAUUAAUUACACACGUACGUUCUUUCUGCUAGCUAGUUAAAUAAAAAGAAGAAGAAACUGAGACUGAAAAAGGGAGAAUUAAGAUAGUCCAUUAUUAUCGUCUUAUUUUUAGAACUUAAACGAGAGAAAAGUCCAUCGCUAGUCCUAAUUUACAACACAACACAACACAUGAUAAUAAAUUUAAAUCACACAUAUUGCCGGAUGUACCCUUCCUCCUCUUUGCCGGCGGCGGCAUGCACGAGGGUGGACGUGAAAUACCACGAGACGAUGUCGUGCACGGCGUCUUGGCCUCCGGUGGCCGCGGAGAUCCCGACCUGAACCUGCUGAGGAAGAAUGGCGCUCAGGUCGUACACAUAGCUCACCUCGUAUGUUUGCGAGCCGGCGGCGAGGCUCACGCUGAUCAGCUUAGUGGCUUCCAGGUAGUUGAUGCGCGCAGUCACCUGCUGCCCGAGCAACGCGUUGCCGACGUUGGUCACGUUUUUGGAAACAUUAGAUUCGAUGUCGAUCCCGAUAUGGCGAUAGCUAGGAUCCACUCCGGGGUUGGAGAAGACGUCGAAUUCCACGGCGAAGACGGCGGGGCCGACGCCGGAGGAGUUGAAGAUUCCGAAGCAGCCGCCGGUGAAGCCGAGGGGUAAGCCGACGGGGGCGAUGAAGAAGGUCACGCCGUCGGCGGGGUUCGUGUCGCCUGCGUUGGGGGUUACGGCGAACGUCAGGGUGGUCUCGAAGUCGACCUGCGCGCCGGCCUCCCAGAACGUGAUCGGGGCUGAGUACACGGCCCGGCCGACGCUGUACUGGACCGCGCUGCCGGAGCUGGUGGUGUUGGUCAUGCGGAGGAAGGUGGAGUCCGACGGGAAGUGGGCGUCGCCUUGGUAGAGGAGAUCGGUCGGCUGGUCGCCCCAGAAGUCGUACGUGAAGGCUGUCGAUUGGGACUGCAUGCGCCGUGUUGGCGGCGGUGGCGAGGAGGAGGGCGAUGGAGAUUAGGGUUUGGAGAAGCUUGGCCAUGGCUUAAUUGAGUUAGUAGUAUUUGCUUUGGAUGUGGUGUGAUGAUGGUGUAUUGGUGUUAACUCUUGCUCCUAUUUAUGCUAGUAUAGUGCUUGAAUGAAAAUGUUAUUUAAAUUAACAUCAUAUUUUUUAUUACACAAAAAUGACUCACCCCAUCUUCUCGAGAUUAACUGAACUUGUGAUCUCUAAUAAUUUAUAACCUACCACAUUGUAGUUGUUGGAGUAUACUCCCUCUGUCCCGGUUUUAGCACGAGUUUUAAUAAAUUGGUUGAUUGUAUUAUGAGUAGAAUAAGGAUAAUAUUUUUUAUGGAAGUGUUAAAAUAAUUAAAAUUGAGAAAAUGUUUCACCUAUUUUUAUUAAAAAUAGAAAUGAAUUUUAAAAUAUGGGACGACGGCCAGAAAAAGAAAAUAUAUAUGGAUACUAAAAGUUGGGACGGAGUGAGUAUUAUCUAUAGUGGUAUCUAUUGUAUGAGUACAAGAGAUUUACUUGACUUGUUGAGGUAUGGAGAGAUUAUUACAAACCACGUGAAAUUGAGUUCUUGCUCCCACUGUAAAAGCAAUAAAUAUAGGGAAAAGAAAAUUAAUACUUCCUUCGUCCAAGAAAUGAGUACACAUAUUUCUUUUUUAGUCCGUUCAUGAAAUGAGUACUCAUUAAUUUUUCUUUUUAUCAAGUGUACCUCACACAACCCUUUAAUUAAUUAAUACCUUUAAAAAGUGGGUCCCUUAUUCCACUAACACCACACUCAAUCAUUUCUUAAAACCUGUAACGUCCCCAAAUGAGAUUCAUUUCGUGGAUUGAGUAAAUUCUAUACUACAAAUUAAUGGUUCGAAUUCACUUUAAAAAAUAAACUACAAUUAAGAGUCCCUCUCUUAAUUGGAAUUCAUAGACCAUCUGCUUCAGUCGUGCCCGAAGACAGAAAAGGUUUGGAUUGGAAUUCAUAGGUGGCUAGGGAAUAAAAGCAGUGUGGCCUCAAUCAUUGAAGCACACUUCGAUUUGUUCACAAAUCUUGACAAAGGAAAGGAAGGUCGAUUUUUCUAGCGACAGUAUGGGUCUAUACCAUUUGGUUGCUGUGGAAAUGACGUAACGAGAGCAGAUUUGAGGGCAAGACUUGGGAGAUCAAUGACGUGAUCGAAGAAGUGAAAGUGAGGAUGUGGAGUUGGAACAAGAUUUUUGGACUACAUGUUAAAGAGAUUAGCUCUCAAUCUUGGUUUUCUUGUGAAACUCCUCUUGUUUUGUGUAAUUUGGUCGUAUCUCUGGUACCAAACUCUCUCCUAAUAAAAUUUCUUUUCUGAUUAAAAAAAAAAAAAAGAGUCCCUCUCUUAAUCAAGUAGACUGGAUGCGGUAAGAGAGAAAUCACUUCCAACUUAUCGAUUUUACUAGCAACAACUAGAUUUAUACUGAAGCUAAAUUGGAUCAGACUCUAGGAUUCACUAGUCUUUUACUCAAGGUGAGUCGGUUUACGAGUCUCAAACUCAAGGUGAACUAGAAUGUCUGUCAAUACGAACGUUGGGAGUUCGAGGGUUUUUUAGGACAGUAACUUAGAUUGAUUUGGAAAUUAGGACAAUAACUUUCGGACUUGUAAAAAUAGGACUCUAAUUCUUUUUAAGAGUAAAAUAGGACACUAAUUAAUAAGUGUUACAUCCGCAGGACAUUUUUCGGCCAAUUAUCGGCCGAGAAAUGUCCUACUUUUACGACGCUUAUUAAUUAGUGUCCUAUUUUUACAAAUUCGAAAGUUUUGUCUUAAUUUUCAAAUCAACAUAAGUUAUUGUCCUAAAAAAUCCCCUGACUCCGAACGUUGGAACAAGCUCGGCAAUAUACUGCUAUUCAACAUUAAUGGCACUUUGCACUAAAUGAAUUGGUGUCGAAUUAAUACAUCGUCUUGCUGCUCAUAUCUAUAUAAUAAAUGCAUACCUGCACCUCGAUAUUAAUCAAUUUAGAUACACUAAAUCUCGGAUAUACUUAACAAAUGGAUUAAUAAAUGUAUAAAUUUUAGAUUUCAGAAAAUCAAAUACAGGUGUUCAUAAGGAAAUGAUUAAAAACCCGUGUGUCAUUUAGAUAAGAUUAUUAUAGUACAGUUAACGAUGGUGAAAUAUUCUUUUACAUUAGAUAUAAUAGCAUUCCAGAUCUCAAUGGCAUUUUUUGUUAUAACAAAAAAAAAUUGUAUAUGUUCCAUACUAUCCUCAAACUUCAAAUUAUUAUUUUUCUUUAUUUUAAAAUUUGUAUUGGCACAUAUCUGUCAAUUAAUCAAAUUCAUAUCAAAACAAUAAUUCGAAUGAUAUAUUAGUUGGCUAGCUAUAAAUUACAAAUUAUUAGUGAUUAGGCAUGUUUUACACAAAUUAUUAGCCCAAACAACAUUUGAUUGUGUGCAAUGCACACACUUACUAAAAGCAGAUGUGAUCAUCUGUCCCACAAUUUAGUGUGUAUCACCGUGUACCAUUCUUAAUUUGUCUAUUUUAUAAUUAUUUGUUGUAAAAAUAAAAAAAAUAUUGUUAUAUUAUGAACUCUAAUUAAAAUUUAUAACUAAAAAUAAAAAUUAAAAAAAAUUAUAUACCCUAACUUUGAAUUAAUUAACCCAAAUAAUCAAUUAUUAAUUCAAAUAAAUAUAAAAAAUAAUUAUAAACUCUAAUUGAAUGAGUGAACCCUUAUUAAUUAGUUUCUUAUUAUAUUAUAAUAAAUUAAAAUUGAAGAAAAUAUAAUUAUAUAUUAUAAUAAAUUAAGAGUGGUACACGGUGGUACACACUAAAUUGUGGGACAGAUCCAUGUGCACUAAAUUAUAGGUACGGAGGUGCGGAUGCGGGGGCGAUACGAUACGAGUACGGGGAUACGGGUUCUAAAAAAUUAUAGGGUGCGAUUCGGCAAGGAUACAUCUAAUUAUUAAAAUUUUAUGAUAUACUAAUUGUUAGAAAUGGAUAUUGGGCCAAUUCCUCCCUUAAAAGGCCUUAUAAGGGAGAGGGUUACCUCACCAUAUAAAGUGGCUCAUGCCACUAUCUCCAAUCCAAUGUGGGACACUUCAAUACUAAUGCUUAUAAAAUAUAUACAAUUUAAAUUUUCUUAAAUUAAUUAUAUGUAAUUUACAUUUUAUUUUACCCAAAAGUUAAGCAUUUUCAAUUAUAUAAGUUAAUUGAGCAACAAUAUAACGAUUCAAAUAUUAUUAGUCCAAUAUAUAAGUCAUAACUGAAAAUAAAAUUAUCAAAAUAACCUUGUGUAGGCCUUUCGUGCACGAGAUACGUGAAUUUCGCCUAUGGAAUUUGCAAAUCCGGUUUAUUUUUAUAAAUUGUUUUAAAAGAUACGCACUGGUGAAUCGGUGCGAAUCCGACAAGAAUUCGAGAAAUCACACCCUAAAAGAAUCCGAUUCGCCGUACAUCUAAUUUUUGAAGAAUCCGUGCAUCAUAGGUGAGAAGAAACACAAGAGAGUAAAAUGGUACAUAAUGUAGAAAGACUUUUCUCCAAAAUAAAUGUUACAGUCUUCUAAUAGUCGAAAGGCGCAUGAAAAUGCGCAGUUAUUCGAAAGAAAGGAAAGGCUUAUUCAGCCACACAAUGACAUGGAAUUCGAAUUGAAAUUGAAAUUCAGACAAAUCCCAAACACGGUGAUGCAGAGAUCAAGCGGUAACACGAGGAAUGAUCUUAAUACCACCGAUGGUAACUUCGUCGCCGUUAAUGUGGGGAACGAUGGUGACGACAAUGAAAUCAUCAUCAGCAAUAUUGAUGUUCUCAUAGAGCUCCCUCAAGUUCAAGCGAAGGUCGUUGGCGCUUUCCGCAGCCCUAACCCUAUGCGGAAUCUGCGUGAAACUGCCGGCGAACUCGGCCCUGGCGAGGUCCUCUGGCUUGUCGUCUUCGUCAUUCACGAACACAUCGAACCUCACGAGCUUCGAACUAUCGGUGAUUAUGUUCUCCAGCACGAGCACUUCGUCGGCUUUGCCUUUGGUUGGUUUGGGCACCAAAACCCUGUGAGUCUUGUUGAGAGUGAGAGGGAACAGAUUGUCUCCACUCUCUGCCCUCUUGGAGAGAUCUUCGAUAUUCACCGGCACCUCCCUCCGCGGUGGCCGGUAGGCUGUCCACGGAGUUUCGCUGUGUUCAUACACGUAUCCCAUUUUGGUGUGGUCCAAGCAGUCGGCCACCUUGACGCGCACGAGGUUCUUCUUCUCGUCGUAGAACAUGAACGCCGCGUUGUUGAAAUCGUCGGGGUUGGGGACGACGAGGUCGUUGAUAUCCUUGGGGAAAACGGAUGGGAUAGUUUUCCAUAUGGUCCACAUUCUGUCGACGUUAGCGUGAUGUGCGUAGAAGAGAGGGUCUCUUCCGGCGGAGUAGAAGUUCCCCAUGUCUUCGCGGAAAUCGUUGGCGGGGUUUCCGGUCCAGACGUGGACGCCGCCGUGUGAGCCGCCCUCCGACAAUCCUCCCUUGGCGCGUGGCGGGGGCAAGUCCCCGGAAACGUAAGGAUCGCCCAUGAAGUCGAUGGCGGAUUCGACAUCACCAAUCAUUUCCUUGUACAUCUGAGUGAGAUUGUUUUCGAUGAUCGUUACAGGAUCGGUGAUCGGGGGGGUGGUUAUGGCAAGAGCAACGAGGGCCGGGGGGCGAUGCGUUGGGUCGCGGUUGACGUCGUAGAGCGGGGAUUCUUCCCUGUCGAACGGCCUGGGCAUCUGCAUACCCCUAGGGUUGUCCCAGUUCCAGUAGGGCAGGGCGAAAUCGGGAUCUCCGAUGAGUUCGCCCAUGAUCCUCUCGAAGAAAUAGAGGUACCACCUGUGGAAGGGGUGGAUCCAGAAUUUGUCAUUAGGAGGGACUAAAUUUGUUGAAGCAUGACGUCUCAAAUUAUUAGCCAAUUUUUUUUAGCAUUCCAUACAGUUCAUUUUUUUGUCGAACUACAUUCGAUUAAUUCAACAACAAGAACAUUGAAAGCAUAUAAAUACUUACCUCUCAAAAAUUGUUUCAUCUUCUAAGAAGAUAAGCUAAUUUUCAUCAUGGCAGUUCAUAAUUUUAAUUUAACUUGAGGAUUGACUCAAAUUCAACACUGAGAAUCAACUAAGAAAGGAAAGUAGACAAAAAUAACAUAAAUUUAACAAACUAACAUAUCAAAUUUAAAUCACUAUAAAAUAUUAAACAGUUAAAACGUGGAUACUAUAAUUAAUAAAACAAUGUAUUUUAUUAUCUCUUGUAUUUCUUAUCUAUACUAAUAGAAAAAGAGUCUAAGACAGUCUAAGGCACAACUUGUGGAUUGCCUAUUUUACCCUUAUUAUAUAUUUAUUAUUAUAUUUACAAAAUAUAAAUCUAUUUUGAUAAAUAUUUAUUUGUCACUCAAAUCUAUAAAGAAUACUUUAUAUCUAUAGCUAUUGAUAAGGCUUAUAAAUAAAUAUAUUCAUCCACAACGUACGUUCUUUCUGCUAGUAUAUAAUAAAAACAAAAACAAAAAACUCAAAAUUUGGGAGGCGGUCGAUCCGCUGCUAACCUGUGGAAAGGGAAGAAGAUCCAUGAGUUGUGAACCUGGAUAUCGAUGCCGGGGUGGUCCACCUGGUCGUAGGGGCCGUUGCAGUAAGCGCAGUGGAUGUUGGCCUGCUGAGUGAAGCCACGGGGAUCGUCGGGGUCCGUCACGUCCAGUUCCUUCAUCUUCUGGAUGGCCAACUCAUACUUGCGUACGUAUUCCGGUGUCAGCCUGUGCGCCGCCGGCCUAACGCGAGGUUUAGUGAACCUCGGAAGCUUGUAGUCGCUCUGAACGUCGGUGUAGGGCGGGCAGCAGUUGACGUCUAGAGAUAUUACCUCUUGGUUUCGAGUGGUGUAGGCACCUUCGGGGUCGCAGGUGCUCAGGUCAGGAGGCAAAAUCGGAAGCGCCUCAGCUUUGCGGAUGGCGCUGCCUGCGCCGUAUAGACCGCCCAGCCCAAGCAGCAUGUUUCUGCGGUCUAUACGGCCGCUGCCACCGCCACCGCUGCUGCAUGACACCUGAAAGCGGCCGUGGCUCCGCCGGCUGCUGAGCUGGGAGGGCUUGCGAAAUGGGGAGUUGGUGGCGGCGGCGAUCGCCGUGAAUGAAGAUUGAAGGGAAGCCAUGUUUGAGUGAUUGAUUGAUGGUCGUUGUGAUUACCUGGGGAGGCAUGUCUUUAUAUAGCAGAUGUGACACGAGUUUUAAGAAAAAUAAAUUAUCCGUUGAAUAAUUAAAUCGCCAUGUUUCUAUAAUUUAUUCCUAAUGGAUCUAGUCAAACUAAUCGUGCAAUAUUUAAUAAACCACGCAGCAUCAUUUCCGAGACUAAUAAAUGACAUUUUGAACCAGCUAAUCAAUUCCAUAUAAUUAACCAUUUGCGAGGCUGGCUGCCCUUCACUAAAUGGUUGUAUGCACUUGUCUUUGGAAAAGCUGUUUGGCCAUAUUAUGGCCAGUCAUAAUAUGGGAAAAUAUUAUAAAAGUCAUGUAUUUAAUUUUUUAUAUUUAAAAUAAAAAUAGGAUUUUAUUAGUUUUAUUUUUUAUUACAUAUUUUAGCUAUUUUUUUUUAUAAUUUUUCUGAAUUUUUUAGAAAAAUAAAAAAUAAAAUUACAAUGUGAACAAAAUUAUAAAACUAAUAAUGGUAGAGCAGCGGAGGGCACAGGUGAAGGGCAUGGCGGCGGUGUACUUAUUUUAGUCAAGUAAUUAUUAUUGCACGAAAAAAUAAUUAUUAAUAUAAAGAAAGAUAAUGUUUCAAAGACAUUAUCUUUCUUCAUGUCUAUUAAUUUUUCAUCACAAUAAUAAUUACUUCGAAUUAUCCGUGUUUUCAAUCGUGCGACCUGCACCCAGCCCGACCCGACCCGUUUCACCCAUAUAGUCAGUCUCACCCAAGUUUUUGCCUAAAGAUAAGUAUUAAUUAGUUGUGUAUGGUGAUAUGAGUCUUGUUUGUAUAAAUUAGUAGGCCUUUAAUAAUGAAUUGGCCCAUCUCAGGUGGUUUAUAUAAUUUACUCGUAUGGAUCUAAAUACAACUAAUCAUGAAAUAUUUAAUAUACCACGGAGCAUCUUUCUGAUAUACUAUUUAUAUAGUAAUUUAUUCCUAAUGGAUCUAAUCUCUGACUAUUUAAUAAUUAACUCGCCAUCGUUUAAAUAAUUUACUCCUUAUGGAUACACUCAAAGUAAUCGUGCAAUAUUUAAUAUACCACGCAGCAUCAUUUCUCAUACAAUAUUUUGGACCAUCUAACCAAUUACAUAUAAUUAAACCUUUUGCCAGGGUGGCUGUCCCUUCCACUAUAUGGUUGCAUGUAUUGAAUUGAAAUUUUAUUGAGGAAAAAAUGAAAAGAAAAACUAGGAAUUCAUUGAUAGCACGAAGACGCUAAUUAAGGGCUGAGCCUCAUCAAAACCUUUCCGAUAAAAAUCCAGUGAAAAAAACCACCAGCAAAGGAAAAAGAGUACCAGUCUAUUACAAUAAAAAAAUGAAGAACAAACUCAAGACAGGAACAACGAGAAGCACGAGAGGAUGAUAAAACAUCUAACCCGAAAAAAAAGACCCAAACCAAAGGAGCCUGACAAAUCCGGAGCCAGUACCAGCGCACCAGGAAACUGAAAAAGUUCUGGAGAAGCCACUUCGACCCAAGCACGCCAACCAUCCAAAAGAAACGACUACCACACCCACACCUAGGCCAAGAAAUAUAUAAUAUUGUGAAUAGUUCCCAUGGGAUCGAAACAGACCACCAAAACAAGAAAAAACCUCUAAGAGCAGACUACUCAUUGCCUGCCUGCCUAGUAUUCGAUGAAAUACCCAAACCAGAAAUCAUAGCAUAAAGCAAAAACCGCCACAGCUGGGGAGCGAAGAGCAGAAGGCCACCAAUAAGAUACAUUAGGAUUGCGCAAAGUCUGACAAAGAAAUCAGAAAACUUACCAGACCACUCUAGUUAAUGUAAUCUAUACAUGUCCGCACAUGAAAUUUGGUCAAGUUAGAUACACUAAUCUCAAAUCUAUUUAAUUAACAAAUUGAUUGAUUGAUAUUUUUUUCUGAGAGAAAUUGAUUGAAUAAUUUUUAGACUUCAAAAACUAAUAGUUAAUUGAUUGUUUAGAUAAGAUUAUUAUUACACUUUUAUAUAGAGAUAAUUAGUACUUGAGAUAUGUGCAAUUUACGCAUUCUUCUCUCGAGACAAAAUAAAUAUUAUUGACCAUUGAGAACUCUGCUACCACUACUCCAGUUCUAUUUAUUAUCAGUGUGCCCUCUCGCGCGCUGCACGGGUCACAACAUAUUUGAUUAUUUAAUUUUAGCUGUUUACGCAUACUUCGCUCGAGACAAAAAUAAAAUAAGAUUUAUUGAUCAUUGAGAACUCAGUACCACACCAUACUCGUGUAUACUAUAAUAUUUAUCAUUGUUUAUGAUUAUUACGUGUCUUCGCCGAUAAAUUUAAUAUUCAUUCCUUUAAUUUUUUUCUAUUGACAUUGGAAACUGUCUUGAUUCUUUUUUGGCCAUAUCAUAUAUUUAAAAAAUUGGGAGGGGAACGUGGAAGUUGAAUCUGAAAUAAGAAUCAAAUGAUACAUGUGUACUUUCAAAGAUAAAACGCAAAAUAUAUCAUUUUUUUGUAAAACAUAUAAAUUCUACUAUUUAUGAUUAUUUUAAAUUUAUAUAAUCUAUAUUUGUAUGUAUAUAUAUUCUCCAUUUGUUCAUGAAAAAGAGUCUCAUUGUAUGCUGAAUACGAGUUUUAAUAAAAUGGUUGUAAGUGUGAAAUAAAUGUAUAAUUUGUAAGAGUCUUUACAUUAGAUUAUAUUUUACUCUCUUCGUCCUAUUGAUAAUGACUCACUUUUCUUUUUCGUCUGUCUCAUUGAUAAUUGCAUGUUCCAAAAAAACUGAAACCAUUUGACCUCACAAAAUGUUGUGGGCUCCACUACUUUUUAUCACUUUUAUCCUUUAAUUACUAUUCUUAUUAAUAACCGUGUCGAACAGUAAUGAACUAUUAUCAAUGGGAGGGAGGGAGUAAUAUUUUAAUUUUGUUUGCUGCCACCACCACCACCACCACCACAAUUUAAAAAAAAAAAUCUACGUGAAUAUAGUAAUUAUUAGAACAAAAAAAUAACUAUAAUAAUAAUAUAUUAAUCCGUUAAUUAUCUAUACUAAUAUAAAAAGUGCAUUUGGCACAAAAUAUAUAUUGCCUGUUAUAUCCCUAUUAUAGUAUUUUAUUUGAAGGACAACUUUGUAAAUUAUAUAUUAUAUAUUUAUAAGAAUAUAUUAUUUCAUUAGAUAUUACACUAAAUAUAUUUGAUAUAUAUCUAGAUCUUAUGCUAUAAUUUUUUUUAUAUUAAUUAAUUAUUAUAUAUUGUGAUUUAAUAGAAUUAUACAACUCUAAUAAUUUAUAAAUGUAAAGUUCAGGGAUUGCAUGCAAUGCACACAUUCUAUGCUAGAAAAAAAAUAGAAUUCACUAAGCCGAUGAUAAAUAACACAUACAACGUACUAUUUCUGCUAGUAAAUUAAAAAUCUAUAUGAUUUUAUCUUCUAUCACUACAUUAAUUAAAAUCUAUCUUCCGUUUCAUAUUAACGGUGGUUUUUCAAUAUUUUUUAUAUUAAUUACUACAUAUUGUGAAUUUAUUACAAUUGUUAACCUCUAACAAUUCAUUAAUAUAAAGUUGAUGGAUUGUGUGUCAUGCACAAACUCUCCUGUACUCAUCUAAAAGACUCUAUAUGUGAGAAGAAACCGCAGGAGAGUAAAAUGGUACAUAACAUAGAAUAGAAAGACUUUCACAAAAUAAAUGUUACAUUCUUCCCGUAGUCGGAAGGAGCAUGAAAAUGCGCGGUUAUUCGCAAGAAAGAAAGGCUCACUCAGCCACACAAAACAUGGAAAUCCUAAACACGGUGAUGCAGAGAUCAAGCGGUAACACGCGGGAUGAUCUUAAUACCACCGAUGGUAACAUCGUCGCCAUUAAUGUGGGGAACGAUAGUGACGACAAUGAAAUCAUCAUCAGCAAUAUUAAUGUUCUCAUAGAGUUCCUUCAGGUUCAAGUGAAGGUCGUUGGAGCUUUCCGUGGCCCUAACCCUGUGCGGAAUCUGCGUGAAGCACCCGGCGUACUCGGCCCUAUCGAGCUUCUGUGGCGUGUCGUCUGCAUCAUUCACGAACACAUCGAACCUCACGAGCUUCAAGCUAUCGCAGAUUAUGUCCUCCAGCACCAGCACUUCGUCGGCUUUGCCUUUGGUUGGUUUGGGCACCACAACCCUAUGAGGCUUAUUGAGAGUGAGAGGGAACACAUUGUCUCCGGUCUCCGCCGUCUUGGCGAGAUCUUCGGUAUUGACCGGUUCCGGCCGCUGAGGUGGCCGGCAGGUCAUCCAUGGUGUAUGGCUAUAUUCAUACUCGUAUCCCAUUUUUGUGUGGUCCAAGCAGUCGGCGACCUUAACGCGCACCAGCUUCCUCUUCUCGUUGUAGAACAUGAAGGAGGCGUUGUUGAAGUCGUCGGGGUUGGGGACGACGAGCUCGUUGAUAUCCUUCGGGAAAACGGAUGGGAUCGUUUUCCAUAUAGUCCACAUUCUGUCGACGUUAGCGUGAUGUGCGUAGAAGAGAGGGUCUCUUCCGGCGGAGUAGAAGUUCCCCAUGUCUUCGCGGAAAUUGUUGGCGGGGUUUCCGGUCCAGACAGCCGCCCUCCGACAAUCCUCCCUUGGAGCGUGGCGGGGGCAAGUCUCCGUCAACGUAAGGCUCGCCCAUGAAGUUGGUAGCGGAUUCGACAUCACCAACCAUUUCCUUGUACAGCUGAUUGAGGUUGUUGGAGAUGAUCUGUACGGGAUCGGUGAUCGGGGGGUUGGUUAGGGCAAGAGAAACGAUGGCCGGGGGCCGAUGCGUCGGGUCGCGGUUGACGUCGUAGAGUGGCGACGCGUCCCUGUCGAACAUCGAGGGCAUCUGCAUGCCCCUAGGGUUGUCCCAGUUCCAGUAGGGCAGGGCGAAAUCGAGAUCUCCGAUGAAUUCGCCCAUGAUUCUCUCGAAGAAAUAGAGGUACCACCUGUGUAGGGAUGAAUCCAGAAUUUGUCGUUAGGGGGGCUAAAUCUAAAAGUAUUUGCAGUGGGGGCUCCCGUCCGCAAGACAAUUUUUUUUAACCAUUCCGUAUAGAUUUAAUUGGCUUAACAUUAGAAAUCAGUCACUUACUAUAAAAAAUAGUUGUUCGCAUUCCAUUAAUUCAACAACAAGUACAUUUAAAGCAUAUACAAACCUACCUCUGUGCAAUUUUUUAAAAUAUUAUUUCGACUUCUAAAAGAAUAAACUAAUUUUCAUUGUUAAUUAAUAGUUCAAAAUUUUAGUUUAUCUUGAAGAUUAACUCAAAUUAAAUAUUCAAUAUUACCUAAUUAAACAAAAAUGAGACAAAAAUAACACAAAUUUUUAACAAACUAACCUAGCAAAUCACUGUAAAAUGUUAAGCAAUUCUUUCUUGUAUUUCUUCUAUAUAUUAAAAACAAAAAAAUUAGGGAGGGGGCUUCAGCCCCCGUGGAUCCGCCACUAACCUGUGGAAGGGGAAGAAGAUCCAUGAGUUGUGAACCUGGAUAUCGAUGCCGGGGUGGUCCACCUGGUCGUAGGGGCCGUUGCAGUAAGCGCAGUGGACGUUGGCCUGCUGAGUGAAGCCGCGGGGAUCGUUGGGGUCCGUCACGUCCAGAUCCUUCAUCAUCUGGAUGGCUUUCUCGUACUUGGCUAUGUAUUCCGGUGUCAGCCUGUGCGCCGCCGGCCUCCUGCGAAGCUUUGUGAACGUCGGAAGCGUGUACUCUUCCUCGUCGUCCGUGUAGGGCGGGCAGCAGUUGGCGUCUAGAGAUAUUAUCUCCCCGUUUCUAGAAGUAUAGGCACCUUUGGGAUCACACUUGCUCAGGUCAGGAGGUGAAAUCGGAACCGCCUCAGCUUUGCGGAUGAGGCCGCUUGCGCCGUAUAGACCACCCAGACCAAGCAGCAUGUUUCUGCGGUCUACACGGCCGCCGCCGCCUCCAUCACUGCUGCACGACACCUCAAAGCGGCGCCUCCGCCUGCUGGCGAGCUGGGAGGUGGUGCGGAGGUUGGGGUUGGUCGUGGUCGCCAUCACCAUGAAUGAAGAUUGAAGGGAAGCCAUGCUUGAUUGAUUGAUGCUUGCAUUGCGCUCGAGGCAUGCAUGUCUAUAUAUAGUAGGCGUGGACACGAGUUUUAAGAAAAAUAAUGAUACUUAAUGGGAUUAUUUUCGAAAAUGAAUUAGGAAGAUGUUUUGGAGACGAAAAUAGAAAAUUGACCUUUUGCCAGGCUGCCCUUUCACUAAAUGGUUGUAUGCACUUAUCUUUUUUUUAUCUAUAAAGAGGUAUUUUCUCCAUUUAAAAAACUUAUCGAGGUAAUUAUGAAGACUAUUCAUUUUUAUCGUUGUAAAGUUAAUUAAAUUAUAAAAAUUAAAGUUGAUAAAGUUCUUAUUAAACAUCAUCGCUCUUCUGUCUUUGGACGACAAAAUUAAUUAUUUCAAAUAGAUAAAGAACUUGAUUUUCCGAUAUGGCUUCUCAUACUAAUUAAAUAAUCUAAUCCUAUAAUGUAUUUCAUAUAAAGUUAUCAAAUUAACAAUAUUCUGUGUGAAUUUUUUUGCCUUGAGUGUGUGUAUAGAGGUAGUCAGGGCCGGCCCUGAGGGUGGGCGGGCAUGGGCGACGGCCCAGGGCCCCAAAAAUUUGAGGGCCCAAAAUUUUUAAUAUAUCCUAUUAAUUAUAGAUCUUAUGUAUACUAACAACAUAGUUCAUCUAUUGAUUUUGGGCCCAACAUAAUUUAUUCUCAAAUUUAGAUCUAUACUUAAUAUAGAGAGUUUUCAAUUUGAAAUCAAUUUCAAAGUAAUUUCAAAAUUGAGUGACUAUUUUGUAGUUAUAAUAUUAAUAAAAUUGAAGGUUUAUGUUUAAACUAUAUAUUUUUAUUUUUAUUUUUAUUUUCAUUUUCAUUUUCUUUAACUUCUUAUUUGUUGUUACAUUUCUUUCCAAAAUUGUGAAAUUCAAUUAAUUAUAAAAUAUUUAAUAUGCAUAUCAAAUUAAAGAUCACAAUAAGAGUUUUAAUAUGAUAUAUUUUAUGAAAAAUAUUUGAUUUAAAAUGUAAAAUUUAUGCAUGUUCAAAUAUUAAAGUUUUAUAAAUUUCUCUCACCUCUCUCAUCUUUACGAAUAAAUAUAUUUUUAAUUCUUUUAAAUUAGUAUUUUAUUUUUAAUUUUUUUAACUUAUUUUUUUGUUUUUGUAUUUCAUAAUAUCAAAUUUUAUAAUUGUGAAUUCUUUUUUUAUUUUUUUUAAUAUUCAAUUCAAAUAUAUAUAAUUAAAAUUAAUUUUUUAUUAUAUUUAUAAGUAUAAUAAUUAAAUUAGUAUUAAUUUUAUAUAAAUAGUAAAAACAAAAAAUAUUUCCCGUGCAUGAGAUGCAAAUGGUAGUUGCACCUCGCCGCCGGUAAUAUAUUUAAGUAUAUAAAUUAAUUAAUAUUAACAAGGCGCCCGGUGAUCACCGGAGGCAUCCUUGCCGCUGGUAUUUCUGCCGCUACUUUGAAAAAUACGGCCGUCGGUAAAUCUGGCCGCAAAUUGUGUACGUUUUUUGGUAGUGGUAAUAUAUUAGGGCCCAAUUUUUUAAUUUCGCCCAGGGCCUCAGUUUUGUCAGGACCGGCCCUGGAGGUAGUUAUAGAAUUUAUCUUUUGUGUUCUCAAAGGAACUUAAUUAAGAUCCAAUGUGAUUGAUACAUUUCGACUAAAUGGAUGGGCAAGAUUCUUUUAACGCCCAAUAUUAAUUCCAUCUCAAAUCGGAUCUUAUAUAAUACUGUAUUUUAUAUAUUCUAUAAUGCAUUUUAUAUAUUACGUGUCUAUUAAAUUAACAUUGAUCUUAGGAGUGAUACAAGUUUAAAAAAAAGCUAGCUGUAUAUUUGGUGAGUAGAGAAGGGAUUUCAGAAAUUAGAAAAAAUGGUGAUAGGUAGUGGAAUUAUUUUAAAAAAUGGACUAAAAAGAUGUUUCAUGAACGAACGAAAAUGGCAAAAUAGGAAGAUGAGUCGUGGUCGGAGGAAAUAUUAUAAUGCAUCGUAUCCUUUUUUGGUUCGUAUAAAGAUUUUUAUUUGAUCCUCAUCGAGAACAUGCAUAUUGCGAAUACUUAAUUUAUUUCAAUAUAUAUAUAUUAAUUUAUUGGGAGCAUAUGCUAAAUAAAUUAAAUUAAUCCGAAUCAAAAGCGCUUAAUUAUCACUACAUUACAUGCAUUAUGACAAAAAGCCUGCGGCUAAAGAUCUUCAGUUUAAGUCUAUUGUCAUAUUGUUUUUAAAAUAUUAUUUAUCCAUUCCGCAUAUGGAUUGGUCAGAUUUAGAUACACAAAUCUCAAAUGUAUUUAAUUAACAAAUUGAUUGAUAAAUUUUAGAAUUCAAAAAUUAAAUCAAUCAAAUACGCGUGUCCACAGUCAAUGGAUUGAAAAUAUGCAGGUAUCUAGAUAAGAUAUAUUAUUAUUAUUAUUACACUGUUAACUAUACUGCAGUACACUUUUAUAUAUACAGACAUAAUUAAAAUAUGCAGGUAUCUAGAUAAUAAGAUUAUUAUUACACUAUUAACUAUACUGCAGUACACUUUUAUAUAGAGAUAAUUACUAGAGAUAUGUGCUAUUACCCAUACUUCGCUCGAGACAGAAAUAAAUACGAUUGACCAUUCAAUUAAACACUACGACACCAUACUCGUGCAUGUACUAACGAUCUUAUUAUAAGUGCACCUUCCCGUGCGAUGCACAGGUCAGUAGAAUUGUAAUCGAUAUUGAUGUGAAUAUCAUCAUAUUCGAUUCGUAUUUGUGAAAAUACUCUAAUAUUUGAUUCAGCAUUCGAUUCGAUCACGAAUACUAAAUACGAUCCCAUAUUCGAUUCGAUGUUAUUUUUGAAUUAUUUGAUACAUUUUUUAAAAUUAAUUAAAUAAUUUUUUUACGAAUAUUCGAUUCGUUUUCCAUCAUAUUCAAUUCAAAACUAUUCGAUUUGAAAUUCUGAAGGAAAAAAUAUGUUAAAUAAUAUUCUAAAAAAUAUAGGAUUAUAUCCAAUAUAUUUACCUAAUAAUUAAACACACAAUAAUAAAGUGUUCAAUUCAUAUUGUUUUAUGUCCCGUGGUUUGUUUCUAGGAUUGUGGUAAUAAAGACUGAUUGGAUCAGUCUAGUACAGUUGUUGUUUGAAUUUGUAAUUUUGUGUAACGGCAUUGUCAUCUUGUUGAGAUUAAUAGGAGUUAAUUUGUUUAAUUAAUUAUUCAUGAGUUUCUUAUAAGAUACCUUCCUUCGUUCCGUAAAAAUAGUCAUAAUUUUUCAUUUUAGAACGUCCAUAAAAAAAUAGUGUUAUUCCAUUUAUAAACAAUUUAGAUCCUUACCUUUGGGAUGAGAUAAAAUGAAAUUCCAUUUUAAAUCAUAAACUAGCUAUAUAGGAAGCAUUUUCAGCUCUUGAAUUCAUCUGUUGUUCGAAUUUCAUAGGAAGCAAGUUUUUUUGACUCAUUAUUUUCACAGCGAAUUCAUCAUGUUACACAUACCCUAAAGUGAUAUAUUUACCCUAUUUGAUAACAUGAUAAGUAUAUUUGAAGCGCUCACUAUUUUAUUUGAACUUUAUUAUCGAGUUUAAACGAGUUUUGAAAUAUUGAAUUAAAUUGAAAUAUCCAUGUUGAUCGUUUAAGAAGCAAAUUUUUGGCAUGGGUUUAUAAAAAAUACAUCCUAGCCUCCAUCCCUAAUAAGUGCGGUGUGAAGGAGUGGGCAAUAGUUCUUUAAAAAUAAUUGAGAGAUGUGUAUAAAGUGGAUAAAAUGGCUUACUAGAGCUGAUUUGUUAGGCCUUACUUUCUCUCUGCCCCACUAAAAUAAGCUCAAUUCUUUUGAGAACAUAGAUUAAUAAACUUUCUUUUGAGAAGAAAAUUAAAGUGGUGGCAAAAGUAAUGUGGUCCAUACCAAUUAAGCAAUUUGAGUACAUUUUUUUUUUCACUCAAAAGGAAAACGAGCCUAUUCUAGCGGGACAUUCCAAAAUAGAAAACGAGCAUAUUCUGCUGGGACGAGGGAAUAAUAAAUUGUUUGUGAGAUGAGUAGUUUGUAAAUAUUGUGUGUGAAAGGUGUAUGUCUUAAAUUGAAAAGACCAUACCUGUAUUGUGAUUGUACGGAAAGGUGGAACUGAGCAUCGCGGCGGCGGCGAGGCAGGAGGCGGCGGUGGUGAGGAGAAUCGAGAGAGAGAGAGAAAGAUGCCAGCAGACAGUGACGGAGGGCAGUGGGCGGCCCUUGGCGGCAGCGGAGACGACAAGGUACUGGCUGUGCCAGAAUUAUUUAGUUGCAUAGGAUCCUUCCAAAUGUAAUUACUGAUUCACUGUUGGAUUAACAAGAAUUAAAUUACUUCAUAAUACAGUAUUCCAACUGUUCGAUAAAAGCCCUUAAUGAAAUCUUCCAUAGAUUACUUUGCAAAGUUCAUAAAAUUACUCAAAAGCAUUGUUGCAUAGUCCGUACAUAGAGAUGGUCGAUUAUCUUAAUUAUGUCUAGAUUUAUUUACGACACACACACACACACAUCACAAAAUCACACAUACUGACUAAUAAGGUUCCCGAAAGCCGGCAUUAUUAGGCGCCAUGGUGGCCGUGAAAUACCAUGAGACGAUAUCAUGGGUGGUGGGUCCGUCUAGUCUGGUGGCGGCGGAGAGCCCUACCUGAACCUGCUAAGGAAGAAAGCCGCUCAAAUCAUACUCAUAGCUGACUUCAAACGUCUUCGAGCCGGCGGUGGCACGGACGGCGAUCUACUUUGUGGAGGCGGCGUAGUUGAUCCUCGCCGUCACCUGCUGCUCGAGUAUGGAGCCGUCGACCUCCGUCGUGUUUCGGGAUGACCUAGACCCGAUGUCGAUGCCGAUGUGGGGAUAGUUCGGAUCCCACGCGCUGUUGACGUAGGUGUCGAACUCGACGGCAAAUACCGAGGGGUUGCUGCCGGAGGAGCCGAAGAUUCCGAGGUUGGCCCCGCUGGAGCCGGUGGGGAUGGUGGAGCGGCGAGAUUGGUGAUGCUGGGUGUGGUGAUGAAGUUUACGGUGGUUUCAAAGUCGACUUGGCCACCGGCUUGGGAGAAUUGGACCGGGUUCGUGUACAAGACCCGGCCGACACUACCGAUCUGCGGUCGCCUUGGUAGGUGAGGUCGGUCGGCUGGUUGUCCCAGAAGUUAUAGGCGAAGGCCGUUGAUCGGGACUUCGCCCUGUUGGUGGCGACGGCGAGAAGAAGGGCGAUGGAGAUUAGGGUUUGGAGAAGGUUGGCCAUGGCUUAGUUGUGCAGUGAAUGAUGUCUACUACUUGCUCCUAUUUAUAAUGAUCGAAAAUAUCUACUACUUACCUACCACAGAUCCACAUCAGGGGCCCUGGAUGGGGUGGUCGACUACAUAAGCCCAAAAAAAUAAGGGCUCGGAAAAUAUAUAGAUCCAUGUAAGUAUUAUAUAUAUGUAUAAAAUAAUUAAAAGCCAACUAAUGAUUGAAUUGAUUAACUUGGCGCAGUGGAAAAAGGACAUUUUUAAUUCCUCUUAAUUACCAAUAUUUUAUUUAGUGACCAAUUUUUUUGUUUAGAUAUAGGGCCCAGCCCCUAUUUUGAUAAAUUAAGUGUAUGUAUUUCAAAUUAACAUUAUUUUAAGUUGUCGAAUUUUUUUGUUAAGAUUUAGGGUCCAGCCCCUAUUUUGUUAAAUUAACUUUAUUUUAAGUGAAUGACAUAAUUAUUAAUAUAUUUAUUAAUUAUUAUGUAAUUUGAUAAAAAAAUGUUUUAAAUAAUUUUAGUUUAUAAUUAAUUUAUUUCUCAAUUAUAAAUAAAUGGCCUAAAUUAAAAAAUUCGCAAAGGGCCUAUGUUCUCUUAGCCCUACCCUUGCACUGUUGCACAUGGUAUAUAUAUCUAUUCUAUGAAUAUAAGUGAUUAUUUUAUAAACCACGUGAAAGCACUUGUUCCCACUAGCACUAUAAAAGCAAUAAAUACAACGGAAAGAAAAUAAAUUACAAUUGAAUACAUUAGGAGAAAAAUUACUUCUAACCUAUGGAAUUACUAACAACGAUACUUAUACCAAAGCUAAAUUGGACCAACUAACUGUACACUCUUGUAUUAUAUCAACCUACCAGACCUUAGUAUUCACGAGUCUCCCACAGUCUAGACUGAUUCACAAUAUAUACCAACAUUGGAACAAGUUCAGUAAUACACUCUAUUUAUAUAUAUUAUUAUAUACACAAAAAUGCAUGGCUGCUGUGGUAUUACGGAAGGAUCGAGAAUUACUCGAUCCUUGGGAAAAGGUUCAAAUGAAACCUUUAUUAUUACUCUCCGUCCCCCAAAUAAUAUCAUAUCCGAUUUGGGAUAUUACCCCACCACUAAUAAUACUUUAUUUAUUCUAACUUCUCAAUCUUUCACCAUUCUCAAUACUAAUUAUAACACAUUUUCAUCACUUUCAAUACUAAUUAUAAUUUCUUUUCUCCACUGCUAAUACGUACACUUAACAAUUUUUCCUUAAAACCAGUGUCGUCCCCUACUAAGAAGUUAUUUGGGGGACGUAGGGAGUAUUUUUUAAUGAUAUGGCAUCCAAAUAUGUUGUGACAAUCCAGUGAGCAAUAUCAACUUUUUGGAGCUGAAAACCGAUGUGAGGUACAACUAAUACACAAUAUGUUGUGGCAAUCCAGUAAUAUACCCUAAGGAUGCGUCAUCUUUUGUUGUAAAUUUAUCAUGGAAAAAUGAGGGAUAAACAAAAUUUCACCCAUUAAAUCCUUCAUUUUUUCCCUCAUUUCUUACAAAAUAGAAUUUGACCCUUACUCAUUUCUCAUUUUCACUGCAAAGGGGGGCUAAUAUUAUCUCUCUAUUUUUGGUAUAAUGAAGAAUUUGAUACGUAAUUACAAUUAAUUAUAAUGAAGUGUGUAUUUUAGUUGCUCAUAUUCUUGGAUUAUUUAUGCUUUAAUGAAACGAUCCACUGCCUUUAACAUUUUGGCAUUUUAAAGUAAACGCCGAAAUGCAACGAUCCACUGCCUUUUAAGUAAACACCCUUGCUAACCCCUGCAUGCGUUUUUUCAUCAAACACUUGGGUUCAUUCUUUUAGGCAUUUUAUCAAACAGUUGUGCUCAGCCUCAUCCUUUUGAUCACAUUCCCAUAUCUCUCCUUAUAUGAAACCGCAUUUUCUAUUUCUCAUAUAUUUCCUAUAUAAUAUUUCCAUCAUUUCUAGCUCAACAAUAAUUCUUCUAGCAAAAUUAUCAUUUCAAAUGCACUCUUUUCCUUUUCUACUUUCUCUUCUGCAUAACAGAAAUACUAAUCCACCAUAAAAUAAUCAUAACUUUUUCUUAAUGAUACGAUGAGGGCACAAAGUUGAGAUGAUAAAAUCAUACAUAUUGGCGAAUGUUGCCGCCGGCUUCCUCUGACUUUUGGAUGCUGAGGGGAGGGGUGGCGGUGAAAUACCAGGAGUUGAUGAUGAAUUUGAUGGUUGUUUCCAUGUCCACCUGCCGCAGAGACCGAGAUACGAUUUUAGAAACAAACGGCAAAAUUACAAUUUCACAUAUAAAAAAUAAAAGACAAUUAAUAAAGCGCAUAAUAUUGGUAAGAUGCUUCCAACCAAUAGGUCGGGAUUGUAUAUCGUGUGAGUGUGUUUUUCAUUUUUUAGUAAUAACAUGUCGUGCUCGGGGCUUUUUUCCGUAUCUGCCCCUGCUUCCCGUCGUCGUGCCCGACUCGUCGGUUUUUGUCAUGCGGAGGUAGGUGGUGGCGUCGGUGAAGUUGGCGUCGCCUUCCAAGCGUAGGCCUUCCGAAUGUGGCGGCUUUUGGUAGAAGUCGUAGGUGAAGGAGACUGCAUCGCCGACCGACACGGUGGCGAGGAGGAGGGCGAUGGAGGAGAGGAGAGGAAUUAAGGUUUGGAGAAGGUUGGCCAAUUUGAUUAAAUGUAUUUGGAUGUAGUGGAUGAUGGUGUAUCGAUCUCUUGCUCCUAUUUAUAGUUGUAAAUAUAUAUUAAUAAUGGUAUCAUUCAAUCAUUAUACUUUAGGCCGGCCGGGCCGGAUCCUCUAUUCCAAAUUCUAUGUCUCAUUGUUCAUAUUCACUAUUAAUUUCACUAUUUCAAUAAUUAAAAAAAUUCAUAGAGUUUGGGGCAGAGGAUCCCGUUUGAAUCCCACAUGGAUCCUCUGUCCCAUAACUUAUUGUGUUCCUUCCCAUUAUUAAUCUCGAUAUUAUAUUUCUACUUUGGAGUUAAUUCAUUAUAAACCCAUGAAAGAUCAGACGAAAUUCAUCCAAUAAACAUUUAUAAAUUUAUAUUUAAAUUUUGUUUCGCGGGUAUCUGAUAGAUAAUAGGUAUUCGUGGGUGGCGAAUUUGGGUAGCAUUUGAUAUUCAUAGAUAGUUUCAUGAUUAAAAUCCAAUAUUCAUUUAGUUCACGGGUAUGGUAUGACAGCCACUAUCUGUGUACGUCAUACCUGAUUGCCAGUAUGACAAAUAUAAAAGUUGUGAGAUGCACAGCAGCUUAAUUAUUCAAAUAGAAAUAUCAUCACAUGUGCAUUGAUAUUUCACAAAAUAAAUACUACUACUAAUAAAUACUCCCUCCGUCCACCAAAGAUAUGCCACUUUACUUUCGGUACGAGUUUUAAUAAAAUGUGAGUGAAGUUGGUAGUGGAGUAAGGGUCCCACUUUAAAUGUGAGUGGAAUGGUAUGGACCUUACUACUAAAAAUGGAUGUGGCAUAUUUUUCGUGGACGAACGAGAAAGAAAAUUGUGGCAUAUCUUUGGUGGACGGAGGGAGUAGUACUCAUUGAUAAUGCAUGCCAACACAUGGUUCUUGCAAGUCAUAUAUAUACCUCAUCAGCAAUAUAGUAAAAUGAUGAUUUGACAACCAGAUUAAGACACCAAUUAUUCUUGUCGGGACACAGACAUAUAUGCAUAUAGAAUUAAUAUUAUUUACUAUUUCGUUUAUACACGUGAAUUAUGCUUUGGAUGCAACAUCGCCACGUCUCUUUCAUUUAUACUUCUCUAGUGUAUUGCGGACAAAAUAGUUAGUGUCUUUAAGAAAUUAAAAAUUUUCAAAUACAUAAGAAAGAAUAAUUAAUCUAAUUGGUGCGCCGGCAACUAAAACUUUUUUCAAUUCACUUUAUAUUUUAUAUACUCCCUCCGUCCACGAUUUAAUGCCCCAUUUUAGUGUGGGCACGGAGACUAAGAAAACUGAAAAAGGUGAUGUGAAUGAAAUAUAAGGGUAGUUGACUAAAGUGAUAAAGAUGCUGUGAGUGGGUUCACUAGUGAUAAAGUAUAGGAAAUAUAGAAUAUAAAAAUGAUAAAGGUGUUUUAAGUUGGGUCCAUUAGUGGCAAAGAGUAAUAAAUAUAGAAAAAGAAGAGUAAAAAAGUACAAAAAGCAUAAUAGGGCUUUAAUUUGUGGACAAAAAAUUAAGAGCAAGUAGGGCUUUAAAUUGUGGACGGAGGGAGUAUUUAACAUUACAAGUCAAUUGCUUGCAGAAUUUGAGCUUGUCUCCCGUGAUGGAGACCUCACCAUGCGGCAACCCGUGCCUGCGCCUGCCUUUUUUCUUCCCGUCUUGCUCUAUCCAGAUAUUAUACGUGAUCCAACUCUUUCCAGAUAUUAUACGUAAAUGAUAAUUUUACUAACAAAAAUUACACUUUUUAUCAAUAACAAAUGAAACUAUGCAUACAAAACAGGAGGUAAAUGAUAUUUUUCUUAAUAACAACUGAUACUUUUUCAAUGCAAAUAAUACUUCGCAAAUGAUAUUUUAAUAUAAAAGUAAAUGAUACUUUGUAUAAAAAUAAAUGUUAUAUUACAAAUGACACUUUUAAUGCAUACCAAUGACACUUUUAAUAACAAAAAUUGAGAAAAAAAAAUUAGAAUUCGGCCUUAAUUAAAAUUUGGACAACAUUUAUUUGGGCAAAGAAGAAAAACACCUGAAUUUUUUUUUUUCCUUUUUUGAGAGAGAAAAACUCAUGAAAUUUCAUGCAAAAGGUAAUGCAUAGCCAACCGGGCUCAAUCAUCUUUCGGCGGUUUUGGUUUGAUUCUUCCAACAUCUAGGGUAGCAUUCACACAAAAUCAACUCGUGUUCAAAAAUCUGAAAUUAAAAUUAACGAUGUGUCUCAGUAUAGAGAUAAGAACAUACCCCUCAAAUGGUUCGAGCCAAGGUCUAAUUCCUUCAGCAGUGUGAUAUUCCAAAUUUGAGUAGGCAUAUAUCCGCCAAAGUUGUUGUCUGACAAGCGAAUACUCUCAAGUUGUGGACAUUGGUACAAACUCGAUGGUAUAUCUCCUUCCAAAUUGUUAAAGGAUAGGUUCACUAGUUUAAGUCUUUGAAGGUUAUUGUACGUGCNUAGACAACAAGAAAUAUCUAUUGUCUAUUCUAUGACAAAAAAAUUAAAAAAUUCUAAUAUAUCUGCAUCCCUGUAUUACAAUACCAAUAUAUAUGAAAAAAUAAAAAUAAUUAAAAAUCAAAUAAUCAAACAAUACUUAUAAACCACUAAUACUCACAAUCAAAUAUUUACACAUCAGUGUAAAUAUUGGGUUCGAGUCCUCUGCGUGUGUUGAUCAAGCGGUAAGGGGUUAAUGCCUAAGGUCAAAGGUCUGGGAUUCGAGUCCCCUGUGGUGUAGCCUUUUAAUUUCGUUAUUUAAUAUUGUAAAUUUAUAAAAAAAAAAAAGUAUAUUUACACAUCAACAAUUGUAUUAUCUUUAAUACGCCUUCAUUCAUCUAAUAAAAAAAAUCUCUAAUAAAAUCUCCAACUAACUCCGGUCAUGAUCAUCUCUUGAAGGCGGAGGAAGGUGGAGUCCGUCGGGAAAUGGGUACUGCCUUGAUAGAUGAGAUCUUUCGGCUGGUCGCCCCAGAAGUCGUAGGUGAAGGACGUCGUUUGGGACAACGCCGUGUUGGAAACGGAGAGGAGGAGGACGAUGGAGGAGAGGAGAGGAGUUAAGGUUUGAAGAAGCUGGUUGGCCAUGGCUUAAUUGAUUUAGAUUUAGAGAUGUGGUGGAUGAUGGUGGUAUCGAUCUCUUGCACCUAUUUAUACUAGUAUGGUUCAUGCCUGUUAAUAAUUGUAUAUAUCAAUCAUCGUGCAUCUAUCCCAAAUUAUAUGUCUUAUUAUUCACUAAUUAGAUGGAUUAAAUCCUGAUUAGUAACCAUAAAAUUAAACUGUCAAUGAGGCCUUGCUCUAGUGGCAAAGCUGUGACACCGAAUAACUUUUCUUUGUGAAAUGUCUUGGGUUCAAUCUCGCCUGCAUGCGGUGAUGUGUGUCCAUUUUAGGUGGUGUGGUAUUCUUGUCUGCGUGCGGUGUUGUAUUGUUUAGUGUUGAGGUCCCACAUGCAGAGCGUUCUUGCCUGUGUACGUGUCACAGCCCAAAACCAUUUAUUUUCUUUACAAAUUUUAUAUAUGAAAAUUAUUUAAUUUUUAAGUUAUAGAGUUUUUGAAAUAUAUAUAGUAUCAAUUUUAUGUUAACUUAGUCGUGUCCCUAAUUAAAAGAAUGACUUUAAAAUAAAACUUAAGCCUUAAAAAUUUAAUCUACAUUCAUAUAUAACUGAAAUUACAUGCAUGUCUAAAUAUUAUUUAUAAUUAUCAAUAACAAGAUUAAUGAUUCUAUAUCUCUAUGUUUAUACAUGUAUUCACGUAUGACAUAGUAUAUAUUAGCUAUUAAGUUAAAAACUAAUAAAAUACUACACUUUUGCAUAGGAUAUAUAUUUAAUUAGUAGUAGGAUAGGACACGUGUAUUAAUUUUAAGGGCAAGUAAUCAAACUUUUGAAUGAUUCAUCAUGCUUAAAAAAAAAAGAGACCUAGAUAGAUGAUUCAUCAGAUUCAAAAACAAGUAUAAAUAGACUUCGGGUUUGAAAUUUUAAUUAAUUUGCAACAACAAUUCAAACUGACUGUAUUAAGGUAAGUAGUUACAGAUUUCAUACACAUAUUAUAUGAUUUCGCACACAUAUUAAGGUAAGUAUAUAUAAAUAUUUUUUAAAAUCAUAUAUUAUAUAAUAAUUAUAUUUAAGUUUUAUAUUAUUCUUUAUAAACUAUUGUUUCAUUCUAUAUAAUUAGGUGUGGCACGACUAGGACGUAACUUUCUAUUGAAUUUCUCAAGUUAAUCUUAGAGUUCAAGUUUCAGGUGUGAGAUUUAUUUAAAUACAUGUCGUACGUGGUUAUUUAUUGUCCAUUUUAAUAAGAUGUGUUUACCAUAUGUGUUAUGACGCAUAUUUUUAGGAUAUCACUAGGUGCCCAUAAAUAGGAUCCAGGACUUCACCGUCCUUGGAUUGCCACAAUGCGAUUUGAGGUUUAUUUUGAGGAUGUCGUUAGGGGCCCGUACAUAGGGUCCAGGACUUUAAUAGUCAUUGGGUUGCCAUAGUGCAAAUAUUGAGGAUAUAUAUGAAGUGACCGUAUGUGUUACCGUUUCAUUAACGUGGACAAUGAUUGCAUGUUUAAGAGACAAUAACCAAUUUUUCAGACAUUUGUGAACAAAAUGAAGCAUGUUUAGAGAUCCUUAAUACAGGUGUACGAAAUGAUGGAUAAAUAAGUUUGUGAAACAAAUUUCACCAUACCUAACCCCACAAUUAUUUGCGGUCGAAUUUCCUCGUCACAGGAAAAAGAGAUGAUGACAAAAGGGAAAAAAUUAAUUAACAAAGUAGAAGAUGCAUGACAACUGUAAAAGAAAAAUAAUGCUACUAAUUAAAUAGUCCAAACUUCAUACGUUUCAUAUCAUAAGUGGCAGUUCUAUUUUUUUUUUUGCGAAUGUGAACAAAAUAACGAAUAAUUUUUAAAGUAAUAGUAAUAAGGAGAUGUGUUUUGACAGAAAACGACAUGAGCGGCCUAAAAAUAAGAGGGAAAAAGAUAAUCAUAUAAAUAUUCAAAAUCAAACGGAUUGGCAUGUAUUCAUCAUUUUUUAUUUUUUAUUUUGAUAAUUUAACAGUACUCCCUCCGUCCGUCAAAAGUAGACCACUUUGGUUGGGCACGGGAUUUAAUAAAAUUAGUGAUGAUUUUGAUGUAGUAGAGAAAGAGUUCCACCACUUUAUGAGAUGUGUGGUUGAGAUUGAAUUUGUUGUGAUUUUUUUGUAAAUAAAGAGUGUUUGUAAGGAUAAAAGAUUAAAGUGGGUGGUGGGACCAUUUCCAUAAAAGGAAAGUGGUCUACUAUUUGCGGACGCCCAAUAUAGUAAAAGUAGUCUACUUUUGGCGGACGGGGAGAGUAUUAAAUAAAUAAAUUUAAAGGUUGCACCCCUUACUGCUUGGCUUUUAGAUUAUGUUAUAAUAAUAAAAUUAACAGCACGUUUACAAUAUAAAAUUAAUUAUGAUAAAUACAAUAUAUUAAUAAUAAAUACUCAAUUACCUCUUAACAUAAUUCGCGCAUCAUGGCUUUUAGCUUAUAUUAUAAAGAUAUAAUAUGUUGUCUAUAAUAAUCGACGGAAGGUAAUAGACAACAUGUUUUAUAUGUUGUCUAUAAUAAUAUAGACAGUAGAUCUAGUGUUAUAGAUAACAAUUAAUACUUGUUGUCUAUAUGAUGAUAGACACCAAAAAUCUCUGUUGUCUAUUCUAUGACAAAAAAAUUUAAAAAAAUUCUAAUAUAUUUACAUCCCUGUAUUACAAUACCAAUAUAUAUGAAAAAAUAAAAAUAAUUAAAAAUCAAAUAAUCAAACAAUACUUAUAAACCACUAAUACUCACAAUCAAAUAUUUACACAUCAACAACUGUAUUAUCUUUAAUUACGCCUUCAUUUAUCUAUUAAAAAAAAUCUCUAAUAAAAUCUCUAACUAACUCCGGUCAUCAUCUCUUGAAGGCUUAGAAAAUGUCCAAAUACAGCGGCACAUGCUCAUUAUUGUGUGAGCGAUGAGAACUUUGCGCUGAACCUAUAAAGUAACUAUACUUAACUGGUAAAGUAAUUGUAUCCCGUGAAUCUAAAGGAAGACUACACACGUUGAUAGAGUUUGAAAGAAAAGAAUAAAGAGAAUGAAAAUCCAAAGAAUUUGCUUCUUCCGUUGAACAAUCCCUACACAACAUUGAAAUAUCAAUGAAAAUAAUGGCUAUCGUAUACUCCCUCCAUCCAUGAAAGAACUUCAUAGGAGGGAGUGACACGGGUUUUAAGAAAAAAUAUUGUUAAGUGUAUUGAGAGUGGAUAAAAGGUAGUUGAGUGUAUUGGGAGUGGUGAAAAUGUGUUAUAGUUAAUAUUGAGAGUUGUGAAAAGUGAAAAGUAAGAGGAUUAUAAGUGGUGGGGUAUAGUCCAAAAAUAGGUAGGAAGUUCUUUUGUGGACGUCCCAAAAAGGAAAGAUAUGAAGUUCUUUCGUGGACGGAGGGAGUAUUAUUUUGCAGCAGCAACCACGUUUGAAAACUCGAUCCCUCUGUUCUUGAAUUUGUGAAAUUUCCGACUGAUUUAUUAGAUUCACCAUUUAUUUCAGUUUAAUUAGUCUAUAUAUAGAUAUUUCUUAUAUUAUUAAAUUGUUAACCUCAUGGUAGAUUUCAAGAUUUGAAAAUUCAACAAAGAGCUUGAGAAUUAUUGAGAUUGGAAGGGGAAGAUGAAACAUAAUUGGGUGAAAUUAGAAACCAAUUAAAGUCACAAGAUUGAACAAAAACAUAACUUAAAAACACAAAAUAAGCAAAUCGUAGAUGCAGUAUCUUGCAAGAAAAAGUUCAUAUUCCCAAGGCUAUGAUGAGCACGAAUUAGGGUGUGUCUGCAUUUUAUCCCUCUAAAUAGAGGAAUAACAAAAUUUUAUUCUUUAAAUGUUUGCUUUCUUAUCACACAUUCUACACAAACACCAUUUUUUCUUCCUUAUUUUCACUUCAAGGAGGANUAAUAUUAUCCCUCCAAUUUUGGUGUGAUAAUAUUAUCUCUUCUUGAAGUGAAAAUAAGGAAGAAAAAAUGGUAUUUGUGUAGGAUGUGGGAUAAGAAAGCAAACAUUUAAAGGUAUAAAUUUUUGUUAUUCCUCAUUUAGAGGAAUAAAAAGCAAACACACAUUAGAGUCUACUUACAAUUUAGGCGCAGGCUGUGCGAGAAUUACUUAGUCGAAUAGGAUCCUAAGUAUUUAUAUUUCUCAUGUUCUUGUGUAUUUUUUUACUGAUUCACUAUUGGAUUAACAAGAAUUAUCUUACUUUAAAUUUCUUGCUUUAAAAAAAAAAAAGAAUUAUCUUACUUCAUGUAUGGUAUGCCAACUGUUCGAUAAAGGUCCUUUUAGAAAUCUUCUAUUGAUUACCUUGCGAAGACCACAAAACUAGACACACCCAAAAGCAUUCUUGCAUAGUUUAUACAUAGAGAUGGCCGAUUGAUGAUCGUCUUAUUUGUAGACUUAACGCGAGCAGACUCGAUCGCUUAGUCCUUAUUGAUUUACGACACACAUGCUCACACACACACAUACACACAUCACAAAAUCACACAAAUUGACGGAUAAUGUUGCCGUUCAGCUCCUUCCUGAACCUCACCGCGGCAUUUUUCUGCACCAUAGUGGCCGUGAAAUACCACGAGACGAUGUCAUGGACGGCGACGUGUUGUCCGGUGGCGGCGGAUAGCCCGACCUGAACCUGCUGAGGAACAAAGUCGCUCAAAUCGUACUCAUAGUUGACAUCAAAUGUCUGCGAGCCGGCGGUGACUUUCACGGAGAUCAUCCUUGUGGCUCCGACGUAGUUGAUCCGCGCAGUCACCUGCUGCCCGAGUAUGGAGUUGUCGACCUUCGUCGUGUUGCUGGAUGCCCUAGAGCCGAAGUCGAUGCCGAUGUGGGGAUAGAGCGGAUCCCACGCGCCGUUGACGUAGGUGUCGAUUUCGACGGCGAAGACCGAGGGGCUGUUGCCGUUGGAGCCAAAGAUUCCGAGGUUGGCUCCGUUGGAGCCAGGGGGGAUGGUGGAACCGACGGGGGCAAUGAAGAAGGCGAGGCCGUCGGCAGGCUCGUUGUCGGCGCCCGGGGUGAUGAUGAAGUUCACAGUGGUUUCGAAGUCGACCUGCCCACCGGACUGCGAGAAUUGGACCGGGUUCGAGUGCAAGACGCGGCCGACUUGUGAGGGCUGUGCGUCUGUGAGGCGGAGGAAGGUGGAGUCCGUCGGGAAAUGGGCGCUGCCUUGAUAGAUGAGAUCUUUCGGCUGGUCGCCCCAGAAGUCGUAGGUGAAGGACGUCGUUUGGGACAACGCCGUGUUGGAAACGGCGAGGAGGAGGGCGAUGGAGGCGAGGAGAGGAGUUAAGGUUUGAACAAGCUGGUUGGCCAUGGCUUAAUUGAUUUAGAUUUAGAUUUAGAGAUGUGGUGGAUGAUGGUGGCCAGGUAUCGAUCUCUUGCACCUAUUUAUACUAGUAUGGUUCAUGCCUGUUAAUAAUUGUAUAUAUCAAUCAAUCAUCGUGCAUCUAUCCCAAAUUAUAUGUCUUAUUAUUCACUAAUUAGAUGGAAUAAAUCCUAAUUAGCAAUCUUAAAAUUACACCGCCAAUGAGGCCUUGCUCUAGUGGUAAAGCUGUGGCACCGAAUAACUUUUCUUUGUGAAAGGUCUUGGGUUCAAUCUCGCCUGCAUGCGGUGAUGUUUGUCCAUUUUAGAUGGUGUGGUAUUCUUGCCUGCGUGCGGUGUUGUAUUAUUUAGUCUUAGGCGUUCUUGCCUGUGUGCAUAUCACUGUGUGACAAUUAAAAGAAUGACUUUAAAAUAAAAGUUAAGCCUUAAAAAUUUAAUCUACAUUCAUAUAUAACUGAAAUUACAUGCAUGUCUAAUUUUUUUAAUAUCAUAACAAGAUAAGAUUUAUUAAAUAAUUCAGAUGCAUAAAUAAAAAGUUAAUCUAUAAACACAGUAUAGAUAUAUUAUCAAUGAUAGGCCGUGUAUAAGUCUUAAUCUGUAAAACUAUAUCAUCCCAGCCUUAAACGACUACCAUUCCUGCUUUCCCAGAGCAACCACACUGUUCCCACCCACAAAGCUUUAAGCAGUACAUGCAUGUCUAAAUAUUAUUUAUAAUUAUCAAUAACAAGAUUAAUGAUUCUAUAUCUCUAUGUUUAUACAUAUAUUCACGUAUGACAUAGUAUAUAUUAGCUAUUAAGUUAAAAACUAAUAAAAUACUACAGUUUUGCAUAGGAUAUAUAUUUAAUUAGUAGUAGGAUAGGACACGUGUAUUAAUUUUAAGGGCAAGUAAUCAAACUUUUGAAUGAUUCAUCAUGCUUAAAAAAAAAAAGAGACCUAGAUAGAUGAUUCAUCAGAUUCAAAAACAAGUAUAAAUAGACUUCGAGUUUGAAAUUUUAAUUAAUUUGCAACAACAAUUCAAACUGACUGUAUUAAGGUAAGUAGUUACAGAUUUCAUACACAUUAUAUGAUUUCGCGCACAUACGUAUGUAUAUAUAAAUAUUUUUUAAAAUCAUAUACUCCCUCCGUCCCCAAAAUAAGUUCCUCUUUGGGGACGGCACGGAUUUUAAGGAAAAGUGGUAAAGUGUAUUAAUAGUGGAGAAAAAUAUGUUAUAAUUAGUAUUGGAAGUUGUGAAAAGGUGAAAAAGUGUUAUAAUUAGUAUUGGGAGUGGUGAAAAAGUGAAAAGUAAGAAUAAAUAAAGUAUUAUUAGUGGUGGGGUAGUUGUCCAAAAAUGGAAAAAAAGAAAGAGGAACUUAUUUGGGGGACAUCCCAAAAUGGAAAAAGAGGAACUUAUUUCAGGGACGGAGGGAGUAUUAUAUAAUAAUUAUAUUUAAGUUUUAUAUUAUUCUUUAUAAACUAUUGUUCCAUUCUAUAUAAUUAGGUGUGGCACGACUAGGACGUAACUUUCGAUUGAAUUUCUCAAGUUAAUUUUCAAGUUCAAGUUUCAGGUGUGAGAUUUAUUUAAAUACAUGUCAUGAUUAUUCAUUGUCCAUUUUAAUAGUAUGUGUUUACCAUAUGUGUUAUGACGCAUAUUUUGAGGACAUCGCUAGGAGCCCAUAAAUAGGGUCCAGGACUUCACCGUCCUUGGAUUGCCACAAUGCGAUUUGAGGUUUAUUUUGAGGAUGUCGUCAGGGGCCCGUAAAUAGGGUCCAGGACUUUAAUAGUCAUUGGGUUGCCACAGUGCGAAUAUUGAAGAUAUAUAUGAAGUGACCGUAUGUGUUACCGUUUCAUUAACGUGGACAAUGAUUGCAUGUUUAAGAGACAAUAACCAAUUUUUCAGACAUUUGUGAACAAAAUGAAGCAUGUUUAGAGAUCCUUAAUAAAGGUGUACGAAAUGAUGGAUAAAUAAGUUUGUGAAACAAAUUUCACCAUACCUAACCCCACAAUUAUUUGCGGUCGAAUUUCCUCGUCACAGGAAAAAGAGAUGAUGACAAAAGGGCAAAAAUUAAUUAACAAAGUAGAAGAUGCAUGACAACUGUAAAAGAAAAAUAAUGCUACUAAUUAAAUAGUCCAAACUUCAUACGUUUCAUAUCAUAAGUGGCAGUUCUAUUUUUUUUUUGCGAAAGUGAACAAAAUAACGAAUAAUUUUUAAAGUAAUAGUAAUAAGGAGAUGUGUUUUGACAGAAAACGACAUGAGCGGCCUAAAAAUAAGAGGGAAAAAGAUAAUCAUAUAAAUAUGGGUUAAUUGCCUCUAAAUACACCACCUUUCCUUGAAUUCUACAAUUGCACAUCACCUUUAAAAUCCGCCCUUAAAUACACCACCUUUCCUUGAGUUCUACAAUUGCACAUCACCUUUAAAUCCGCCCCAAAAUACAUCAUCUUUAUAUUUUUUCUGUUUUUGCACAUGACUAAAAAAUUCUCAAGAAAUAAAUUAAAGUGUUAAUUUAUAAAUUUAAAUAUCUUUUUAGCAGCGAAAACAUAAUAAAAUAAAAUUCUUUAUAAAGUUUAAAAUCAUAUAUAUAUAUAUAUAUAUAUAAGUAUUUUCGUAAAGAAAUAAAUUCUCUAAUAAAUUUUUAGAAAGAACUUGAAUUAAAAAAAUAAACAAGUCAUGACAUUAAGAAAAUAAAAUGAAAUUUUUAUUUUAAUAAAUUUCACACGAAUUCGAUAUAAUUUGGAAUUUAGAGUUACAAUAAUCAGAAGUACCACAUGAAUAAUAUAAUGAGUUUGAAAGAAAUUUUUUUUAAAGAGGUUCGACACGCCCAUUCGACUUUCCACGCGCCUCCAAUGUCAUUUACCUGAAAUAUUAANUAUAUAAGUAUUUUUCGUAAAGAAAUAAAUUCUCUAAUAAAUUUUUAGAAAGAACUUGAUUAAAAAAUAAACAAGACAUGACAUUAAGAAAAUAAAAUGAAACUUUUAUUUUAAUAAAUUUCACACGAAUUCGAUAUAAUUUGGAAUUUAGAGUUACAAUAAUAAAAAGAACCACAUAAAUAAUAUAAUCAGUUUGAAAGAAAUAUAUAUAUAUUUUUUUAAAGAGGUUCGACGCGCCCAUUCGACUCUCCACGCGCUACCAAUGUCAUUACCUGAAAUACUAAAUAUGGGAUAAGCAUACAUAAUAUACUUAGUGUGGGAACAUGCAAUUAUUGUCCACGUUAAUAAAAUAGUAACACAUACGAUCAUAACAUUCAAAACGACACAAUUUUGCCAAUAUGGAAGCCACGUCAUUUAAAGUGGUAACACCCUAAUCUAACUAAAGUGUUAAAUAUAAAUUUAAAGCGGAAAUAUAAUAAAAUAAAGUUCUUUAUAAAAAUAAAUAAAGAAUUUUAUUUUAUUAUAUUUCCGCUGCUAAAAAAGAUAUUUAAAAUUUAUAAAUUAACACUUUAAUUUAUUUCUUGAGGAUUUUUAAGUCAUGUGCAAAAACAGAAAAAAAAUAUAAAGGUGAUGUAUUUUGGGGCGGAUUUAGAAUUCAAGGAAAUGUGGUGUAUUUAGGGGCGGAUUUUAAAGGUGAUGUGCAAUUGUAGAAUUCAAGGAAAGGUGGUGUAUUUAGGGGAAAUUAACCCUAUAAAUAUUCAAAAUCAAACGGAUUGGCAUGUAUUCAUCAUUUUUUAUUUUUUAUUUUGAUAAUUUAACAGUAUUAAAUAAAGAAAUUUAUAGGCUGCGUCCCUUACUGCUUGGCUUUUAGAUUAUGUUGUAAUAAUAAAAUUAAAAGCACGUUUACAAUAUAAAAUUAAUUAUGAUAAAUACAAUAUAUUAAUAAUAAAUACUCAAUUACCUCUUAACAUAAUUCGCGCAUCAUGGCUUUUAGCUUAUAUUAUAAAGAUAUAAUAUGUUGUCUAUAAUAAUCGACGGAAGGUAAUAGACAACAUGUUUUACUUCUUGUCUAUAAUAAUAUAGACAGUAGAUCUAGUGUUAUAGAUAACAAUUAAUACGUGUUGUCUAUAUGAUGAUAGACACCAAAAAUCUCUGUUGUCUAUUCUAUGACAAAAAAAUUUAAAAAAAUUCUAAUAUAUUUACAUCCCUGUAUUACAAUACCAAUAUAUAUGAAAAAAUAAAAAUAAUUAAAAAUCAAAUAAUCAAACAAUACUUAUAAACCACUAAUACUCACAAUCAAAUAUUUACACAUCAACAAUUGUAUUAUCUUUAAUUACGCCUUCAUUUAUCUACUAAAAAAAAUCUCUAAUAAAAUCUCUAACUAACUCCGGUCAUCAUCUCUUGAAGGCUUAGAAAAUGUCCAAAUACAGCGGCACAUGCUCAUUAUUGUGUGAGCGAUGAGAACUUUGCGCUGAACCUAUAAAGUAACUAUACUUAACUGGUAAAGUAAUUGUAUCCCGUGAAUCUAAAGGAAGAAUAAACACGUUGAUAGAGUUUGAAAGAAAAGAAUAAAGAGAAUGAAAAUCCAAAGAAUUUGCUUCUUCCGUUGAACAAUCCCUACACAACGUUGAAAUAUCAAUGAAAACAAUGGCUAUCCUAUACUCCCUCCAUCCAUGAAAGAACUUCCUAGGAGGGAGUGACACGGGUUUUAAGAAAAAAUAUUGUUAAGUGUAUUGAGAGUGGAUAAAAGGUAGUUGAGUGUAUUGGGAGUGGUGAAAAUGUGUUAUAGUUAAUAUUGAGAGUUGUGAAAAGUGAAAAGUAAGAGGAUUAUAAGUGGUGGGGUAUAGUCCAAAAAUAGGUAGGAAGUUCUUUUGUGGACGUCCCAAAAAGGAAAGAUAUGAAGUUCUUUCGUGGACGGAGGGAGUAUUAUUUUGCAGCAGCAACCACGUUUAAAAACUCGAUCCCUCUAUUCUUGAAUUUGUGAAAUUUCCGACUGAUUUAUUAGAUUCACCAUUUAUUUCAGUUUAAUUAGUCUAUAUAUAGAUAUUUCUUAUAUUAUUAAAUUGUUAACCUCAUGGUAGAUUUCAAGAUUUGAAAAUUCAACAAAGAGCUUGAGAAUUAUAGAGAUUGGAAGGGGAAGAUGAAACAUAGUUGGGUGAAAUUAGAAACCAAUUAAAGUCAGGAGAUUGAAGAAAAACAUAACUUAAAAACACAAAAUAAGCAAAUCGUAGAUGCAGUAUCUUGCAAGAAAAAGUUCAUAUUCCCAAGGCUAUGAUGAGCACGAAUUAGGGUGUGUCUGCAUUUUAUCCCUCUAAAUGGAGGAAUAAUAAAAUUUUAUGCCUUUAAAUGUUUGCUUUCUUAUCACACAUUCUAAACAAACACCAUUUUUUCUUCCUUAUUUUCACUUCAAUGAGGGAUAAUAUUAUCCCUCCAAUUUUGGUGUGAUAAUAUUAUCCCUCCUACAAGUGAAAAUAAGGAAGAAAAAAUGGUACUCCCUUCGUCCCAAACGAAAUGUCCUGUUUUCCUUUUUGGGCUGUCCCAAACGAAAUGUCCUGUUUCCUUUUUUGGCAAUACACUCUCUCUCUAUACUUAAUAUUUAAAUAAUUUUCACCAACCCACUUUAUCUACUUUAUACACAUUUCUUAAUCUCCGUGCCGAAAAGAAAUGGGACAUUUCGUUUGGGACGGAGGGAGUAUUUGUGUAGGAUGUGGGAUAAGAAAACAAACAUUUAAAGACAUAAAUUUUUGUUAUUCCUCCAUUUAGAGGGAUAAAAAGCAAACACACCUUAGAGUCUAAUUACAAUUUAGGCGCAGGCUGUGUGAGAAUUACUUAGUCGAAUAGGAUCCUUAGUAUUUAUAUUUCUCAUGUUCUUGUGUAUUUUUUCACUGAUUCACUAUUGGAUUAACAAGAAUUAUCUUACUUUAAAAAAAAAAAAGAAAUGAUCUUACUUCAUGUAUGGUAUGCCAACUGUUCGAUAAAGGUCCUUUUAGAAAUAUUCCAUAGAUUACCUUGCAAAGACCACAAAACUAGACACACCCUGCAUAGUUUAUACAUAGGGAUGGCCGAUUGAUGAUCGUCUUAUUUGUAGACUUAACGAGAGCAGACUCGAUCGCUUAGUCCUUACUGAUUUACGACACACAUGCACACAUACACAGAUACACACAUCACAAAAUCACGCAAAUUGACGGAUAAUGUUGCCGGCCAGCUCCUUCCUGCUCCACGCCACGGCAUUUUUCUGCACCAUGGUGGCCGUGAAAUACCACGAGACGAUGUCAUGGGUGGCGACGUGUUGUCCGGUGGCGGCGGAUAGCCCGACCUGAACCUCCUGAGCAACAAAGUAGCUCAAAUCGUACUCAUAGCUGACAUCAAACGUCUGAUUGCCGGCGGUGACUUUGACGGAGAUCAUCCUUGUGGCUCCGACGUAGUUGAUCCGCGCAGUUACCUGCUGCUUGAGUAUGGAGCUGUCGACCGGCGUCGUCUUGCUGGAUACCCUAGAGCCGAAGUCGAUGCCGAUGUGGGGAUAGAGCGGAUCCCACGCGCCGUUGACGUAGGUGUCGAUUUCAACGGCGAAGACCCCGGGGCUGUUGCCGUUGGAGCCAAAGAUUCCGAGAUUGGCUCCGUCGGAGCCAGGGGGGAUGGUGGAGUCGACGGGGGCAAUGAAGAAGGCGAGGCCGUCGGCAGGCUCGUUGUCGGCGCCGGGGGUGAUGAUGAAGUUCACGGUGGUUUCGAAGUCGACCUGCCCAUUGGACAUCCAGAAUUGGACCGGUUCCGAGUACAUGACGCGGCCGACUUGGGACGGUUGUGCGUCUGUGAGGCGGAGGAAGGUGGAGUCCGUCGGGAAAUGGGCGUUGCCUUGAUAGAUGAGAUCUUUCGGCUGGUCGCCCCAGAAGUCGAAGGUGAACGACGUCGUUUGGGACAACGCCGUGUUGGAAACGGCGAGGAGGAGGGCGAUGGAGGCGAGGAGAGGAGUUAAGUUGGCCAUGGCUUAAUAGAUUUAGAUUUAGAGAUGUGGUGGAUGAUGGUGGUAUCGAUCUGUUGCACCUAUUUAUACUAGUAUGGUUCAUGCCUGAUAAUAAUUGUAUCAAUCAAUCAUCGUGCAUCUAUCCCAAAUUAUAUGUC